RNAcentral lists this long non-coding RNA (85124 nucleotides) under Citrus maxima (pomelo). Its description in RNAcentral is "long non-coding RNA (CMAX_LNC001413)". The record is from RNAcentral. Lineage: Eukaryota; Viridiplantae; Streptophyta; Magnoliopsida; Sapindales; Rutaceae.
UACUGGUAGCCCAACUGAGAAGGCAAUUCUUUCUUGGGCUGUGCUUGAUUUGGGGAUGAAUGUUGAUGAACCGAAACAGUGCUGUAAAGUAAUCAACGUGGAGGCCUUCAAUUCAGAGAAAAAGAGAAGUGGAGUUUUGGUGAAGAGGAUCCGCGAAAAGACUGUUCACAUACAGUGGAAGGGAGCUGCAGAGAUGAUACUGGCCAUGUGUUCUCAUUAUUAUGUCAAAAGUGGGACAAUCAGAGUCUUGGAUGGUGAAGCGAGAAAGCAAAUUGAGAUAGUUAUCAAGGACAUGGCAGCCAAGAGCUUACGAUGCAUUGCUUUUGCUCACACCAAAGUUGCAGAGGCUGAUGGGCAGGUUCAGGAGAAGCUUGAAGAAACUGGCCUGACCUUGUUGGGCCUUGUGGGCUUGAAGGAUCCUUGUCGUCCAGGUGUCAGAGCAGCAGUUGAAUGUUGUAGAAAUGCAGGGGUGAAUGUCAAGAUGGUAACUGGGGACAAUGUGCACACGGCUAGAGCCAUAGCUAUUGAAUGUGGAAUCCUUAAUCCUGAUGUGGGUUUAAACAAUGAUGAUGCGGUAAUCGAAGGUGCGCAAUUUAGAAGUCUCUCAGCUGAAGAAAGAGUGGCAAAGAUUGAAAGUAUCAGAGUGAUGGCAAGGUCUUCCCCACUAGACAAGCUUCUGAUGGUUCAAAGUUUGAAGCAGAAAGGCCAUGUUGUAGCAGUGACUGGCGAUGGCACAAAUGAUGCUCCUGCACUCAAGGCCGCAGAUAUUGGACUCUCAAUGGGAAUUCAAGGAACUGAAGUGGCAAAGGAGAGCUCAGAUAUCGUCAUUAUGGAUGAUAACUUCACCUCUGUAGUGACAGUUCUGAGAUGGGGACGAUGUGUGUACAACAACAUUCAGAAAUUCCUUCAAUUUCAGCUCACAGUCAAUGUUGCUGCUCUUGUCAUCAACUUUGUUGCUGCUGUUUCUUCAGGAAAAGUCCCACUGACUGCUGUUCAGCUGCUCUGGGUGAACCUGAUAAUGGAUACACUGGGAGCAUUGGCAUUGGCCACUGAGCAGCCCACCAAUGAUCUCAUGUCAAAGCCUCCCGUUGGCCGAUCCGAGCCUCUGAUAACAAAACUCAUGUGGAGGAAUCUCAUCCCUCAGGCCAUUUAUCAGGUGACCAUCUUACUGACUCUGCAAUUUAAAGGAAGAUCAAUCUUCGGCGUGAAUGAAAGUGUUAAAGAUACCAUGAUUUUCAAUACUUUUGUCUUCUGCCAAAUCUUCAAUGAGUUCAAUGCUAGGAAACUUGAGAAGAAGAAUAUAUUCAAAGGGAUACACAAGAACAAGUUGUUUCUAGCAAUCAUUGGAAUUACCAUUGUUCUUCAACUUCUAAUGGUAGAGUUUCUGAAGAAGUUUGCUGAUACUGAGAGGCUGAAUUGGGGGCAAUGGGCAGCUUGUAUUGGCAUUGCAGCUAUGUCUUGGCCAAUUGGUUUUCUCUUCAAGUGCAUUCCCGUUUCUGGCACGCAGCUGCUUUUCAAGCAAAGAGCUUCAUGAAUCACAAAUCCAUAAUCAAUUCUCUAUCAGUUAAUAUUUUCUUUUAUCUUUGUUUAGUUUCUUAAGUUUCCUAGCUCAAUUUGUAAAUAUAAGUCUAAUAGCUAAUUACUUCAUAGUGAAAUUUAUUUUGAAUAAAAGAAAAAAUUCUAUUGCUUCAUCAGGUCCUUAGAAUUUCAUUUGACCAAUUAAAUAUAUGGUUAUAAAAUACAUAUAUCUUUAGCAAGUACUAAACAUUAAACUUGGAGAAGAGGAUUCCUUGACUAUAAAAGAAGUAAGAAAUGUUAGUCGAGCAGGUGUUUGUUAAAAGUGAUAAGUGUCUGUUAAAAGUAAUAAGUGUUUGUUGAAAUGUCCCAGUGAAGCUCCGGAGCAAUAUCACACUUCAUUGCUUUCAACAAACACGUGCAAUGGAAUAAAAACAAGAGAAAGCUGUAAUGUGUAAGUACUGCAUGCAGCAGCCGUUGGAUGCAUUUAACCCCAGCCAUAGGAUUAGUUUGUAAAGACUAAAGAUGUAAUGAGAAAUUACAAAUCGAUUCCCAAAUAUAUCUUGCGGAAAAUGUCAAGCUCAAUGGAAACCAACGUUAAUGCUUAUACAAGCCUAGUUUGUACAAUAAUUUCUAGAGUAAUGCUGCACUUUUCGAGCCUAAAUUUUUCUGCUUAUGAAAUUUUCUACUCUUAUAUUGAUUGCUUCCUUCUUUUAAAUUUUAAGACUGCCUGCAUAUUUGAUUUUGAUCGAAAGGCACUUUCCAUUGAGCUUUCAUUUUGCCAACUCUACUCCACAGUCUUGAGGCCACAAAACAACGAUGGGAAAGAUGAUUAGAAGUUUCUGCACUUGUGUUUACAAAAUUAUUUGGUACAUUUUCAUCAUCACUACAACAAAAGGGCCAAUUCAAAAGAUGUUGUCUAACAAAAAAAGUCGUCAACACGCUUAAGUCACAAUUCUUGUGAAGGUAGCUCACUAUUCGAGCAGUUCAGUGAAGCCACGUCAGCAGAAGGUUAUUAGUGAAAUAUAGAAGUUCAGCUGAGUUGGUUAAAAUGUCGAUAUACAGCUCAUAGUUCGUUAUGUAAAGUUUGUUAAUUACAAGUAGAAAUCACGUGUGAGAACUUUGUAUAUAAACGUGAGCUUGUAAACAAAUAAGAUAAUAAUGAAUCAACUGGAAUUUUCAUAGUUUCAUUUUCUCUAAGAUUUUCCUUUGAACCAAACAGUAUAUUUAUGUUCUUCUACAUGGUAUCAGAGCCACAAUGGCUAAUUCAAGUACUGCAACUUCAAAUCAAUCGAUCAUGAAUUUAAAUCAACCAUCACAAACUUCAUUUACUUUCGCAGCUACUGUGAAAUUAGAUCGAUCUAAUUUUCUGCUUUGGCGAAAACAAGUCUUGACACUACAACAAAUAUGGUCUUUGGUAACAUUAUAUUGUAGCAUUUUUUUAAAGAAUGUUACCAAAUAUUAAUUUAUUGUAAUAUUUUCUAAAGUGAUGCUACCUUUGUAGCAUGAAAGCCAUUACAUUUUGGUUUUAAUGACACUUGAUAAUUACUAGUAGCAUUUUUGUAUAUGCUACAUAUAAUAUUGAAUUAUAUAGCAUCUAGGAAAUGCUACAAGAUAAGAUUAAAUAAAAUAGCAUUUGAAAAAUGUUAAGGAAUAGUAAUAAAUGUAAUAAUAUUUUAAAAUAGCAUUGGUAGCAUUCUAUUGGUAGCAUUUUGAUUCAUAAAAUACAAUAGCAUUUGAAAAUUGCUACAAGCCAAAAGGAUUGGAGUAUUAGACCAUCAAUGUCUAUUGGUGAUAUGAAAAUAUGCUAAAUAGAAUAUCAAUUAAUAAUUUAACAUUCUAAAAAUUCAACAAGAUAGUAUUAAAUAUAAUAUGUGUUAGGCAUCCCAGCAUCUAAUUUUCAAUUUGAGUCUCAACAGAUGUGGCACUCAUCUAUUUAAUGGCGAAUAACUAAUUUUAUAAGUUAUGAAAUUCAUCAUCGAAUAAAUGUGUGAUAAAUGGUAUUGGGUCUCAAGUUGAGACUUAAAUACUAGGAUCCCUAAUAUUAUUGUCAAAUAUAAUAACAUUAUUUUUUGUGAGUAAAUAUAAAAGCAUUUUAAAAAUGUUAUAAAAUAGUGAAAAUUAUAAAAAUAAAAAAUGGGAUGAAAAUUAAGCUAAAGAUAUGCAAAACAGGUAGUUUUAGUAAAAGGCAGGUACUUUAUAAAAAAAAUUAAAAACGCCCAUUAUUUUAUUUCACUUCCCGCGAUCUCUUUCUAGAAAAUUCUCCUCUGCUAUCUCUUCUCCACGCCCAUUGUUCUCUCCAACUCUAAUUCCAACUAAAUCUAUAAAAACAAAAAGAUAAAAAUAGAAAAGACGAAAACGAUUCCAUGGGCACUUCACGUAUGUUUGCUGAUUUGAGAAAGAUUACUUGGCUUUUUGGAUGAUUUAGAAGUGGCAUCAUUGAUUUGGUAAGGAUUCUUACUCCGUUACUCGUGCAACUUCAAUUUCAGUAUUCCCAUGGUCAAAGCAAAUGCACAUCCCCAAUCUGGGUGCUUUUUCUUCCAUCCACUUGAGUAAUUAAUGAUUAAAUUAUUUACUAUUAUAUAUGGGUCUGAUGGUUGAAUAUUUAAAUGGAAAAGUCAUGUUAUCUUGUUAAUUGGUUUUGAAUUAUUGAUAGUUUUAUAGUUUAUUAUUAUUUUUUCUCUCAAUCCCUAGCAUUCUAGCAAUAUCUACAAUUAGCUGCGUCAAUAUAAAUUUUUUAACUUAUAUGUCGUUAUUAUAGAUUGGCUGCUUAUGAUUUCUUUCUCUUUUGAUCAAAUUGGUCUUGGGUUUUGAUAUAUUUUAUGAUUGUCACUAUUAACAUAAUUUUAAUUGCAGAAUCUCAAAAUUCUUGUUUGGUAUGUGUAGUGUUAGCCUUUGAUUGAGGAGUUAUCAGCUUCAUACUCAAUAGACUUGCAGCAACGUGCAUAUCAAUUCUAAGGCAGGUUUGGUGAAGAAAUUUAAAGUCAAAGAACAAAGGUGCAGCCAAUACAAUUUUCUGGUACUAUUUAUUUUAUUUUAAUAUGUUUUAAAAUUUGUUUACGGCAACAUCUUUUAAUAAUUAUUAAUUUGUAUUGUGAAUUUUAUGUUUUGUGUUUUAAAACUAAUUCUUUCUUUCUGUGUGUUUUAUGUUUGUUUGGGUAAUGACAGACAGAAUAUAUAUGUAAGACUUUAAUCAUUGACGGCUUUUUUCUACAUUGUAUCUAGGUAGUUAUAAAUAAUAUCAAUUUUAACUGAUGAAAUGAAUCAUAAACUGAAAGAGAGCAUUAGCAUAUAUCAUUUAAAUUUAAAUUUUUUUCAUAGUUCAUGAUAAAUGUUGCUCACACGUGAAGUAAUGAUUUUAGAUAUGCUUUCAGAUAAAUGAAUACAUGAAGUAUGUAAAUUAAAAUGACUCUCAUUGUACAGGGUUAAUAUAUUUAUAUGUAUGUAAAUUAAAAAUAAUUUCCAAGUGGUUAAAUGAUAUAUAUUUGUGGUACCAGGAGUAGUGGACAUAUGAUGAUGAAUAAAGAUUGGAUCCAACUUAACAGGUAAUAAAAGAUGAUUUUUAAGCAAGAUAAUAAAACUAUAUAAAAAAUACACAUUAUUACUAAUAUGUAAUUAAUACUGUGAUUUGGUAGAGCUACUAACGAGUAUAUGCAAGCUGCUUCGAAUUUUGUGAAUUUGGCCAAAAGAAAUGCAUGGAAUGUAGAUAAGAUUUUGUGUCCCUGUAAAGAUUGCCGAAAUCUAAGUCAUCAUCUUGUGGAGACUGUUUAUGAGCACUUGAUCUUUAAAGGAAUGGAUCUUACUUACACAACUUGGUUCCAUCAUGGGGAGAAACUAAGUAUAGAUGAAAAUCCUAAAGAAGUGAAAAUGUCAGACACACAUAAUUUAUAUGCAAAUGCAUAUAUGGAAAAUGAAGAUUAUGUAACACCUACACUAGGAAAAGAUGAAGACUUCACUCAAAAAUUAGAAGAUGCAGAAACUCCAUUGUAUCCAAGUUGUACAAGAUACACAAAAUUAUCAGCCAUUGUAGCUUUGUACAAACAUAAAGCAGGCAAAAAUCAAGGCUAGUUAAGAAGAUGGCAAACAAAUUGGAUGGACAAUGGCAAAGAGCUUAUGUGUUCCAGGAGAUGGCUGGGCUUUGGAGGGCUUCAAAAUCAAGGUUAGUUCAGAAGAUAUUGCAGGCAAAAAAUGAACAAGAAAGAAUGAAGUUAAGACCUGAUAACAUCUCAUCAAUAAACGAAUGGAAAAGUUUUGUGAAAGAAAAAACAAGUGAAAAUUUUAAAGUAAGUUUUUUACUAUAUUAAAUUAUGUAAUUAUGGUUGUAACUAUGUUACUGAACAAAGUUUAUAUUAACUGUGUAGGAAAGAAGUGAAGGAUUUAAAAAGAUUAGGAAGAAACAAAUCCCACAAACAACAGGUCGUAGGGGACUCGCUAGAAUGACAGAAGAUAUGGUAAAAAAAUAUUUCUUUUAUAAUAGGAUUUUAGCUGAGCAAUCAUUUCUAAACUAUUUUCUGUUGCAGAAAAAAAGUAGUGGAAAAACUGAAGUGCCUAGAGUUGAUGUAUGGAUGCGAGCACAUACAAAAAAAGACGGUCAACCCGUGAACAUUCAAGCUAGAGAGACUAUUGUAAGAAUAUCCAUUUAUUCAAUUGAUAUGCUUGUUUUUAUCAUCUGUUCUUGAUUAAUAUUACUUUUAAAUAAAUUUUCAGGAUAAAUUAAAAGAAACUUUGCAAGAUCCAUCACGACAUUCUUCAAAUAAUCUAAGAGAUGAUGCUCUCUCACAAGUACUUAGGCCUGACAAUUCUCAUUUAAGAGCUAUCGGCAAAGGAGUCACCAUUUCAAAAUUGGUCAUACUAUCACAAAAGGACAGCAUAAUAGCUAAGUUGACAGAAGAACAUGAUGAAAUUAAAAAAGAAAAUGCUCAAAUGAAACAAGAACAAGAUGAAAUGAAGAAAGCAUUGUCCGAUAUGCGAAGUUUAGUUGAAGAGUUACAAAAAAGGCAGGCAUGUACUAUGUUUUACUCACUUUUAUGUAGUUGUUAUAAUAUUUAGUUACUGACUUUUUAUUUUUCAUUUUAGAAUCAUUUUCAUGAAACCGAAACAAAUGGGAAUCCUCCGAAAACACCUUUGACUUCUCCAAUGGUAAGAACAUUAUUUACACUUUUAAGUUUAGUGAAAGGAUGAAAAAUAAAAUGAUGAAGGCUUAUUACUAAUAUUUUUUUUCUUAAUUAAAUUGUUCUUGUGUUGUUGUUAAAGAGUGUGAAGGCAAUCCCAAACAUUACUAAGUGUAAAAUGCUUGAUUUGGAGGGGUCUGAUACAGUUGUGGCUGAAGGGCGUUGGUCAUCAAGUGAUCCAAAUGCACUUGUUCAUCACAUUCCUCUUGGUUCUAACGCUAUAAGAGUUUGGGUGGAUAUAGCUAGGCAGCCGCUAAAAUUUUUGUGGAAAGUAACACAUUAUAUGACAACAAUUGAAGAAUAUGUUGGGAGUACAAUUGCAUGGCCAGCUGAUAGAGUUAUCCUGUUUGCUGCCAACUAACUUUUCUAGUCCAUCUAUUUAGGUAUUCUUUUACGUCCUUUUCUUUUUUCCAAUGACCUCAUAUUUUUAAGUUUGCUUGCAAUUAUGAUCUAGUUUACCACUAUGAGAAAGUAAUUUUGCAUUUUUCUACUUUGAGAAGGUUCUGAUUUUAUCUUCUUGGUUCAAUUUUUCCUAGAGUGGUUAUUUUGAAAAGUAGUUGUUUUGUUCAUUUUUAUUAGGAGCCAUACGCCAAGGUUUCACUAUUGCCAUAGGUGUUUGAAAUGUUAAUCUUGGUGGGUUGUGAUUUGGCUUAUUGCUUAUCAUUAUGUUAUUUCAUUUCUUGAUAAAUGAAAAAUAAAAUAUUUUCCUCUUAUGAUACAAAUAUUCAGAUUCAUUACUUUGAAUUUUCAAUAUUGUUAUUUUUAUUUGUAUUUAUUAAUGAGUCAUUAUUUUAUUUUUCAUUCUUAAAGCAUCAUUAUUAAUUCUUUUCAUUAUCAUAAUGUAACUAUGCUUUUGUUUUAAUUUCAUGAUGCAGGAUGUAAAAAUUUAAGUAUAUUUUGUAAAGAGUAGAAGGCAAGUUGUGGAUGUUAUGGGUAACAUAAUGGGUAAAAACCUGCAAGUAUGACAUGAACAUACUUAAUUUUUUGUGCAAGUCUCUUUGUAUACUUUGAUGUACAUGAUCAUGUGAUUUUGGAUGCUUAUAUAUAGUUACAGUGAUGAAAUAUAUGGUAUCUAAAUUUUUUUCAUGAAAGGAAUAAUAGAUUACACGUCAAAUGGUUUGGCAUUGGAGACUUAAAAUUAUAUUUAGUGAAUAAACAUUUUGAUACGAAUUUAUCAACUAAAUUGAUGAUAUUGAACAACCAUUAAAAAAAUACUUUUUUAUUAAUCAACAUUCAUAACUUUUUACAAAUGCUACUAUAUAAAGAUUUAAAAUCUUCCAUAGCAUUUACUAACAGCUACAUUAUAUAUAUAUAUUAAUUUUGUGCUAGUUGUAACAUUUCCGAAACGUUAUAAUUAUUAGUAAAAUUGCAUUAUCAAAGUGCUAUCAAAGACAAGUGGUAGCAUUAGUAAAUGGUUCAGUAGCAUUUUUUUAAUGUUAUAUAUGUAAUUUAGUAGCAUUGCAUAAAUGCUACACAUUGCACAAUGAUAGCAUUUGCACGAAGCUGUAAAAUAAGAUUUGCUAACCAUUUUUAAAUGCUAUAUAUAUGAAUUGUUAGCAUUCAAUAGAUGCUAUUAAAUAGUAAAACUUUUAGUUACAUGGGCAAACUUAGCGUUGCCUAAAAUGCUACCGAUCACCUUUGGUAGCAUUUUUUGGAUGCUAUUAUAUAUCCUUUUUGUUGUAGUGUGACUUCGAUCAGAGGAAAUUGCUUGGAAAAAUUCAUUUCAGAGCCACAAAUUAUUCCAGAACAAUAUCUGUCGAAUGCAACAACUGAUGGAUCUGGAGAGAAUGUUGAAAAUCCAGCUUAUGUCAACUGGAGAGCACUGGAUCAAACACUUCUUGGUUGGCUGCUAUCAACCAUAAGUGAAGGUAUUCUCAAUUCAAUCCUUAGCUAUGAUACUUCUUUUGAUGUGUGGAAAGCUAUUGAAAAACAAUUUGGAGUUCAAUCUGAAGUUAAGAUCAUGCAACUUCGUUAUGAAAUGAAUAUCUUAAGGAAAGAUUCAAUGAAUAUUGAGGAAUAUUGUGCAAAAAUGAAGCUACUGGCAAACAAACUUGCCUGUGCUGGUGAUAUCAUUACUGAAAAAGAUAUGUUGAUGAGGAUUUUAAAUGGUUUAGGUUCUGGCUAUUUAGAUCUGGCUUCAAUCAUUACUGCAAAUAAGAUGAGUUAUGAUGAUGCAUAUGCCUUAUUGUUGACACAUGAAGCUAGACUUGAACAGAGUCAAGGUACUAAAACCAUUCUUAAUGCAAAUUACAGUUCAAUGAAUGUUAAUCACUCUUACAUGAGAGGAAAUUUUAGAAGAGGCACAUUUGGUAAUGGAAAUUAUGGUUGUUCUGGUAAUAGAAGUUUUAAUGGUGGAAGAGGUGUGUUUCAUAAUUCAUAUCCUAGAGGAUCUCCUACUGGUGUUGCAAAUUUUGGAGGCUAUGGUAGAGGACAAACAGUGCAAUUUCUAAGGCCAUCUGUGAGACCAAAUUAUCCUCUUUCAGCUUUUCAUCCUUCAGCUAAUACACCCUCUGAUGAAUCACCACCAAUAUGUCAGAUAUGUCAUAAGCAAUGGCACACAACAGAUGAAUGCUGGCACAUAUAUGAUGAUAGUCCUACACCUUUACCCAAACACUUUGGAAGGGGUAGAUCAUUUAGGUCCAAGGCUGCUUAUAUGGCUAAUUUCGAUCCAUUUACAAAUUACGCUGCUCCAACAGUGGAAGACAACUAUGCUGCUCAUUUUUACUCUGGCUUUAAUCCAAUGUAUCACUCAUCUUAUCCAUCUGCAGAGUUUAAUGCUCCUGAAGCUUAUCUUACCAAUUAUGAAGGGCCUGCUGAUGAUGGAUGGUAUCUGGACAGUGGUGCCACGCAUCACUUGACCAACAAUAUGGCUAACAUGAAUGUCAGAGAAGAAUUCAAGGGAUCAGAUCAGCUUGUUAUCGGCAAUGGUCACGGUUUGUCUAUAACUCAUGUUGGUGAUGCAUGCUUUACUUAUAAGGGAUCAAAUGUUGCCUAUAAAUCAACACAUAUUUUGCUCAAAGAUAUGUUAUUAGUGCCUGAUAUCACAAAGAAUUUGCUAAGCAUAUCAAAAUUGACCACUGAUAAUAACUUGUCCAUUGAAUUUACUGGUGAUGUCUGCUAUGUGAAGGAUUCUCUGACGAGGCAAGUGCUUCUGAAAGGACUUGCUAAGAAAGGAUUGUAUAAACUGAUUCUCAAGCCAUCUGAGUCUAUUCCUUCCUCAUUCAUGUGCCAAACUUCUCAUAUUCAACCAUUGUCAAUGUUGUCUGCAUGUUCUCUUGGUCCUCAUGUUUUGAAUAAUACUCAGAAUAAUAAUCUCAGUUCUGUUUCUCUUUGUAAUGCAUCAGACAAUAAAGUUUACAGUCAAAAUUCAUCUUGUAAUGGAUUAAAUAAUAAAGCACUCCUUCUACACAGACGUUUUGGUCAUCAUAACUCUCAAACACUAAUGCAUUGGCUGAAAAAUAAUGCUUCUAUUAAUCUCUCAAGUAAUAGCAUAAAACAAGCACUGAAUCAAAUUUGUGAAGCCUGCCAGAUGGGAAAAUCUCAUAAACUUCAUUUCCCCAUUACAGAAAUCAAAACAACUAAGGCUCUUGAACUUAUUCACACAGACUUGUGGGGACCCUCACCCAUCCCAUCUAGAGAUGGAUACACUUACUACAUAAGUUUUGUGGAUGAUUUCAGUCGUUAUACUUGGAUCUAUCCCCUCAAAUUGAAAUCAGAGGCAUUCGAGGUCUUCAAGCUAUUCAAAUUGCAGGUUGAAAACCAACUUAGCACCACCAUUAAGAACCUGCAAUCUGAUUGGGGGGGGAGAGUAUAGAGCAUUCACUCAUUUCUUAAACCAGUGUGGAAUUAUCUUUAGACACUCUUGUCCCUACACACAUCACCAAAAUGGAGUAGUUGAAAGGAAACAUAGACACGCUAUUGAGUUAGGACUCACCUUAUUGGCACAAGCCAAGUUACCUUUCAAGUUUUGGUGGGAUGCUUUUCAUAUAGCUGUGUAUCACAUUAACAGACUACCAUCUACAGCCUUGAAACUUAUUACUCUAUAUGAGAAAAUAUUCAAUCACAAACCUGAUUAUAGUAUGCUCAAGUGCUUUGGUUGUACAUGCUAUCCUUACUUAAGAGAUUACAAUAAGCAUAAAUUCGAUUAUCACUCAAGCAAGUGUAUUUUCAUUGGUUAUAGUCCAUCUCAUAAAGGAUACAAGUGUAUGCAUCCUUCAGGUCGAAUAUACAUAGUCAGACAUGUUGUUUUUGAGGAGUCUACUUUUCCUUAUUCCAUAGAUUCAGUUUUUCAUUCUACUGAAUCAACUCCUCAUUCAAGUCAAUCUUUCACACCUCAACAAGUAUAUUAUUUGUCAACAUUACUAGUUUCAGUUACUGACAACUCAUACAAUCCACACUCUGCAAGUUCUAUCAGCAACAGCUCUCAGAGUUCAGACAAUUCAUCUCAUACUGUAACCAAAACCUUCCUUUACAGCAACAUAUAUCAACUAGUGAACCACCUACAGAACCAUCCAUAGAACUACCUACAGAGCCAAAUACUUCAAUACCACAACCUGUACCUUAUCCAUCAUCAUCUGUUCAACCUAAUAUCCAUUCCAUGACUACCCGAAGCAAAGCUGGUAUCUUCAAACCUAAACUAUAUACUGCAGCUCUCAUUCACAAAGAACCUGAUUCAGUGUAUGAGGCCAUGCAAAAUCCAAAGUGGCUUGCAGCCUUAAUGCAGAACGGUACAUGGUCCCUAGUGCCAAGAAUAGCUGAUCAAAAAGUAGUUGGGAAUAAAUGGGUGUACAGGGUGAAAUAUAACACUGAUGGAAGUGUGGCCAAAUACAAAGCUAGAUUAGUAGCUAAGGGAUUCCAACAGAUUAUGGGAGUAAAUUGUUUUGAAACAUUCAGCCCUGUCAUAAAGCCAGCUACUGUAAGGGUAAUUCUAAGUUUGGCUGUGAUGAAUCAGUGGAAGAUAAGACAAGUUGAUGUGAAUAAUGCUUUUCUCAAUGGAGAGUUGACUGAGGAAGUGUUCAUGGAUCAGCCAGAGGGGUUUGUUGAUGUUGAAAAACCAGAAUAUGUGUGUAAGCUUCAUAAGUCUCUAUAUGGUCUUAAACAAGCUCCAAGAGCUUGGUAUGAUAAGUUGAGAUGAUGCCUGUUACAGUGGGGAUUUAUGAACUCCAGUUCAGAUACUUCUUUAUUUCUAAGAAGAAGUAAGUCAUCUCUGAUCUUAAUCCUCAUUUAUGUUGAUGACAUUCUAAUAACAGGAUCAAAUAGCUCUGAAUUAGAAAGCUUUAUUGUUGAAUUCAGCACAAUGUUUGCUCUAAAGGAUCUUGGAGCUCUCUCUUACUUCUUAGGAAUUGAAGUGUUGUAUGACACAGAUUGUAUAUACUUAUCACAAAGGAAAUAUAUAAGGGACUUUUUAUCAAAGGUUGAGAUGAUAAAUUGCAAAGAUGUUGAAACUCGUAUGAGUACAGGAUUGAAGAUGCUACACAUUAUAGAAGCAUCGUUGGUGGAAUGCAGUAUUUGGUUCUGACAAGACCAGAGAUUGCCUUCAGUGUGCAUAAACUACGUCAGUAUGUUUCUGCACCAACAUUGCAGCAUCUCAUGGCAUGCAAACGGGUGCUGAGAUAUCUGAAAGCAACACAGAAUUAUGGACUCAAAUUUGUUAAAGAGGGUGAUAUGAAGUUGACAUGUUUCACAGAUGCAGAUUGGGCAGGGGACUUAGAUGACAGGAAGUCAGUUGGUGCUUAUUGUGUCUACUUGGGUCACAAUCUGAUAUCUUGGUCAUCCUAGAAGCAACCAGUCAUUGCUAGAUCAAGUGCCGAAAGUGAAUACAGAUCACUAGCUGCAGCAAGUGCAGAGAUAAGUUGGUUGCAGUCUCUGUUCUCUGAGUUAAAUUUGCAGUGCACAGAAAAACCUGCCAUUUGGUGUGAUAAUCUUAGUGCCACGCAAUUGGCUCACAAUCCAGUUUUUCAUUCAAGAACGAAACAUAUUGAGAUUGACAUACAUUAUGUUAGAGACAAAGUACUUGCUGGAGAAUUGAGCAUCAAGUAUGUACCAAGUGAGGAGCAAGUAGCUGAUAUAAUGACAAAGUCACUUUCAUUCAUAAAGUUCAACUACUUGAGAGCCAAACUCAACGUUCUCCCAUGUCCCUUGAGUUUGAGGAGGGCUGUGAAGGUAGCUCACUAUUCGAGCAGUUCAGUGAAGCCACGUUAACAGAAGGUUAUUAGUGAAAUAUAGAAGUUCGGCUGAGUUGGUUAAAAUGUCGUUAUACAUCUCAUAGUUCGUUAUGUAAAGUUUGUUAAUUACAAGUAGAAAUCACGUGUGAGAACUUUGUAUAUAAACGUGAGCUUUUAAACAAAUAAGAUAAUAAUGAAUCAACUGGAAUUUUCAUAGUUUCAUUUUCUCUAAGAUUUUCCUUUGAACCAAACAGUAUAUUUCUGUUCUUCUACAAUUCUUAACCUGCGGAGUUAGAAAAGAGUAAAUUACUCUUAUGGGACAAAGCAGCGAUACACAUGUAGCCGGGUAGCAACGAGUAACUUGUAUAUAACCAAAAAUGCUUGGAAAGCUUGUAGAAGCAUGAAGUUUACAUAUCAGCAGAUUGAUGCGUGUUCAUGUCUAUCUUGCAGCUGUUUGUAAAAGUAAGAAAUGGAUUAACUUAUCGAAAAUAGACCAUAGCAACUCAGAAAUUUGUUUCUCAAUUUCAAUAAUAGCUAAUCCUAUAUUCCUAUAUAUCUUGCCGCUAGCCCUACACGAGUUUCAGGGGCAACAAUACGUGAAUCAGCCUUCAUCAUCAGAGUUGUUAAAUGUUAUUUUUUUAGCCUUGGGAGCAUCGGCCAAAAUUUCUCUGAAGUGAGCUCCAUACAGCUUGGACUCCUGCAAUGCGAGGAGGCACAGAGAAAACUAAUUCAGGGCAGAAAACAGAUGACCAAGCAUGCUUGCACAACAUUUCCAAACAUAUGUGCCAAGCAACUGGAUACACAGCAAAUCGAAUGAAAAAAAAAAUGUAACAAAAAGGAUAGAACCGUACACCUUCUUCUUUACAUGAGUGCCAAAUUUCAGAAGAGCAUCUGGCACAACUUGUCUAGCUUCUCUGAGAACAUUCACCAGCUCCCCAGCAAGUGCCUGAAAUAGCAAUGUCACUAGCUAAAACAAAAUAUAGGCCAUGUAGCACUGAACAUUACCAUCUGGCGAGCUGAACAAUUUUAAGAAUUUUUCCCAAGUCAGGGAAAUGUCUGUGAUGAAAAUAUUUAAUUUGGAUUGAAAAUGUAUCCAAACAAAUUCACAUAUAUAGGAUACAAAAGCCCAAAUACAACUACAAUUGACACUGCAACAAUGAUCAAAAGAUGAAGACUUGUACACAAUAUUACAUCAAACACCCAUCAAUAAGAGAUUUCCAGCCCAGCUUCUUCACUAAUUACAUUUUUUUAGAUUAUGUUUCUCUCACUCUAUACUUCUGUUACCAAAAAAGAAAAAAAUUAAAGGUCACUAAUACAAUACAGUAAAAAAAGGAAAAAAAAAAGAAAAACAAAAAGGUUUUGGAAUGUAAAUUAAAGGGCACAUAAGUAUUUGGCCACUUAAAUGUCAUUGUCUGAUGUUAAUAGUUUUUACAAGGUGGCCAUCCCAAAUAAAAUAUUCUGCUUCAACACCUUGCUCCAGCUCAAAAGGACUUCAAGUGAUAAUUAUAAGGUAGAGAAGAAACAAAAUCAUAUAUAACAUAUACCCAAAGAUAUCUUGCUCAAAAUAAAGCGAACUGGCUCUUUGAAUCCCAUAUCAAGCAUUCGGUCUGCUUCAUCAAGGACCUACAGAAAGUUUUAAACAUCAAGUCAUUUCAGAUUAUAUUUAAUACUUAUUGUUAAAAGUGAAGUUACUUAUUGUUAAAAGUGAAGUUUUUACAAACUCUGCUGAUACAAAGCACUAUUACUUAUUUUCUGUACUCCUCUUAAAAUGUAUUGCUCUUUCUUCUACUUCUAAUCUUGCUCAGUUUCAUUUGGAUUCUGUUUAGGAAUUUAGGAAAUCUUACAAAAGAAUCCAUCAUCCCUUACAAAGUUAGGAGUUAAGGAGCUAAUUUACUGAUGGCAAAGCCUUUUACAAGCUGUAUUAGAACUUCUAGUUAUCUUUCCAUUAAAAAGAAACUCCUUUGAAAAUACUCUAGUUUUGACGCUAGGAGGGCUCAAGGGACUCUUGAGGUUUUCUACCUUUUCUCAUCCACUUUAUUCAUCCCAUCUUGUAAUAAUUUUGAUAACUUUGCAAACUUUAUCUCCAACUUAAUAAGCCAGAGAUAAAUUCCAAUUAAACCCACCCUCAAAUAGAAAUAAGAAAAUACAACAUCAAAGCAGCAGUGCUAUUUAUAACUAAAUCAAUACAAACAGUAAUUAGAAGACCAAUACUCUAAAUGGCUGUCCUUACCACGAAAGAAACCUCCGAAAGGUGACAGACAUUCAUUUCAAUCAAAUCUAUCAAACGACCAGGUGUUCCAAUCACAAUGUCCUGUGCACACAAGAAAGAAAAUGUCAAUUACUAGGUAAUUAUAAGAAAAUCUUGCAUAUGGAAAGUGCCAACUACCACAUCAUAGAAUAAUAUAUAGGGGCAAUCAAGAAAAUAACUGUAUGCUUCCAAUGAUAAUAAAACGGACAAAUUAUCUCCAAGCUAUCGGCAAGACUUAACUAGAUCUCCUCAUGAUCAAUAAAAUUAAGGCAAUAGAAAUCUAUCUCUGUGUGCCACACACAAUCUAAAAGCAUCAAAUGAAUGAUAGCCAACCUUGAUAUCUUCAUUUGCAAUGCUAUUCUAGCAUAAGAAUUGUAAAGAUAGCCGUACAUAAUUUUUGACAGGAUGUAUAGAGUUACAGUAUAAUUAAGAAUUGGAGUUGUUAAAGCAGAUUUAAUGGGCUAAUUUAAGAAACAAGCAGUAGACAGACCUGACAAAUGAGAAUUCAAUGAUGAAGAACCAUAAAAGUGAAGGAUAAGAUCAGAAGGAAAACUUGGGAAACAUGCCUCAUAAAAAACCAAACAACUGCCAGAUUCUAAUACUCUAUAUCUUAUGAUAUGCAAAGAUCAAACUGGCAUUACAAGACUUGAAUUAUGCCUUAAAUUCUCAGAGGACCACAAUCUAAAGUAAUUACAUAAAUUUGAAUAACAAAGCAUCAAUUACGAAUAACUAACAAUCCAAAUUUAGAGCCGAUUCAGACCUAAGACUAUAAAAGACAUCAUGCAAACUUCAUAUCCGUUAAGACACAUACGGUUGGAGUCCAAAAUGGUCUAAUAAACAACCGAACAGAGAAAACUAAGUAAAGCUAGCCAAAAACAAAUAGAAAGAUGAAAUAGAAUAACUUACAACACCAGGACUGUAAGGCUGUAAUUUGAGGUUGUUUCGAGGUUCCUCCAUGCACACAAACAGACCUCACACCACAAGAUUUCCCAGCAUCAUGCAAAACAUCAUAAAUCUGCCACCAGCAAUGAAAGUCAAUAAUUGAGUUCAUGCUUUGAGGAAUGUUUCUCAUAGCAUCAACUAAACAAGUAAGAGAUAACAUAAACAUGGAUGUAAAGAAAAAUAGGCAGCAAUACAACAUCAUCAAAAAAUAUGUAAACAAAUGAGACAGGUACACUCUAAAAGAUCAUGCUUGUUUCAUACUGCAGUAACAGAAACACAGCACAAACAAACAUUUUACCACUUAUAUACUCUCCAUAGCUCCUGAUGGAUAUAUUUUUUUUAACAUUCAAUUAUAAUUGCAAGAUAGAAGCAGCUUUUUUUCUUUGAUAGAUAAGGAUAAGUGGCUUGAUUACUCUUACUGCUACUCAACAAGUAUCUAUGUUACUGCAUGCCUGGACUAGAAAAAUAAUAAAAUGGCUGAAUUCCUAGAAAAUCCUCGUGCUACAUUCUACCAUGAAAAUCACAGAACUACACAUUCCAAGAUGCAGUCUUUCAACCAUUCAAAAUGUAUCAUUUGUAAUCUAAAAGCUGAAACUUCAGCACAAAUAAUCACCUACAGUCACAAUACCUAAAAGCAGAACAGUGGCAUAUAGGUACAUGCUUGGUCAGCCAACUCCCUGGUGGGUGAAAGCACAAGGCAAAGUGGAUUCACCCUCUUCCCCACCGCCUUCCCCCUUCACUUACUCAACACAUGCAUCAUUGCCGGCACCCCAAAUGCUAUUGUCUUACCUAAAUUACCAAAAAUUACACCGUAAAUCCACAACCCACCAGGAAAAAAAAAAAAAUCAAAUCAAUAUACCCACCUGAGCCAUUGGUGGUUUCAAUCGCUUCAAGCUUUCGUUUUGGAUUCAGUUCGUUUUGUUGUUGUUCUUCUUCUUCGGAUUCAAUCUCUUUGUGCUUGUUCUUCUUCAAUUCUUGUAAUAGAAAAUUAAAUUCCUGUCCUCCUUCAAUUGCCUGCGAUAUGUGCUGGCAAUAUCCCAAAGUGAAAAAAGUGAUCAUUUUGAUGUUUGCUCAAUCCAAGUAUAUGGUUGACCUUUAAACUCUCUACUCCAGCCCUAGCCAUAGCAACGACUCAUUACUCAUGGAAUUAACGAAUUUAUAGGGCAUUGGUAGACUAGUAAUAAUACUUUUGAAUCUUAUCAAUGUGAAUUUGUUUGGACAAAAUUCUGAAAAUCGUUCAUGAACUCUCUACACCACUCACAACAUUGCUCAUUGAUUGAUCUCUAUAUAUAUUUGGAUCCAAAAAGCAGCAGUUUCAUUGCAAUUUUAAUAGUUAGCUGUCAUUUUGUUCUUUAUUUUAAUUCUUUUCUUUAUUCUAAUUUUUUAAUCUCUCAGAAUUCGAGUCCCCCCUUUUUUUAAAAAUCUCAACAAAUCAAAAAAUUUAUUAAAAGAUGGACAAAUACCUAAUCAAUAGAACAUAGAGAGCCUUAUCCCUCGAGAUGACUAAGAAAUUGAUACAGUGAAAUAAAAAAUUAUCAAAUAAAAUACUAUUGAGACAACUAAUCAAAACGGUAAUUUGAAUUGAAUUGAGUGCCGGCAACUUAGGGGUAGACAAAAACCUGAGCCAAUCCGACCCAUCCGACCGGAUCCGAAUAUUUCAUGCUCAGAUUAGAUGCGGAUUGGAAGAGUGACCCGAUCGGAUGACUUUUGGUCAAUCCCCUGCUCUUGCAUCAUCGAUCACUGACAGAUUAAAUUUGAAUUGAGUGCCUGCAAUCUUUCCAAAGUAAAAAGAGGGGAAAAACAAAAACAAAAAUAUGUUUGAUAAUUUUGGUAAAAAAAUUUCUCAACUUCUAGGAUGAAGGGGACGGACCAACGUCCCACGCCACAGGUUUCAAUCCCUUGUUCAUUCCUCCCAUAUACUGAGAUAGUGUAUCACCAUCAACACUAAAGGAGAAGCUGAAGGAAACCCAAAAUGAAAACAGGUUUGUUCUUUUUGCUUCUCUCUUCUUCUUCUUCAUUUCAUUGUUCAUGAUGGAGCUAAAUCUCACUGAGCAACUUCCUAGCUUAUGAAAUGAACAUUCCAUUAUCAGUUUAAAAUGCAAAAACAUUUAUGCAACAAAGAAAUGAUGAUCAUUAUAGAACAGAAUUAUAUAGGGAGAAUUGCGUGGGAAUUUCCUCCAAUAAAACUCAAUAUAUGCCUUAACUUAUAACAUUCUUAAAUUUUACAUACAUUUAUUCCUUAAAAAACUAGAGAAAGUACAAAAAUAACCUCAAUUAAAUCCUUAUAAAACUGAACUCACAUCCUCAAAGUCGGAUAAAUAGUCGAGAAUACUCAACUUCAAUCAAAUCAUAUAUAAUUAGUAAUUCAGCAUAAAUUCUCAACUUUUCCAUGUUAGUCGGGUAAAUAGUUGAGAAUACUCGACUUCAAUUAAAAUAAAAUAUUAUUUGGAGAAAUCUAAACUUUUUUAUGUAAGUCGAGUAAAGAGUCGAGAAUACUCGACUUUAAAUUAACCUUGCCCAAGUAUUCAUUUAGCAAAAUUUCUCGACUUUUCAUGAAAGUUUAGUAACUAGUGGAGAAUAUUCAACUUAAAUUGAAAUAAAAAAAUCUUAUUUAAUUACGUCAGGUAAAAAGUCGAGGAUACUCAACCUUAAUUUAACCUUAUCUAAAUAUUUAAUCAGUAAAAAUUCUCGAUUUUUCGUGAAAGUUCGGUACUAGUUAAGAAUACUCGACUUAAAUUGAAAUAAAAAAAAAUCCCUUUAAUUAAGUCGAGUUAAGAGUCGAGUAUACUUUACUACUAGGCUUACUUUUACUCGACAUAUUUCUCGACUUAAUACUCGACUUACAUCAUAACUGACUCGAUUUACUUCACUUCCUUACUUGACUUCCUGCUCAACUAAAUACUCGACUUACUCAACUCCCUUACUUCAUUUCUUGCUCGACUAAAUACUCGACUUCCUCCUUAAAUGAUUUUUCAAUCACUCAUAACUUAAAUUAAUGUCUUAAAUCCUUACAUUUUAUCCAAUAGUUUGUGUAUAUGUGUAAGCACAAAAAUGAAUAAUGUACAAUUAAACUCAUAAAUCAUUAGCAAAUAUACUUGUAAUGAAAUCAAAUCAAAUCAAACCCUAAGCAUACAAAAUGUUUACAUUUCAAACAUACAUUAUUCAUCACUUGAUUAUGCACCUUUUGAAGCGUUUAUAUUUAUCAAAAACCUUUGUAUUGGAGGUAAGAGAUGAAAUAAUGAGAGAGGAAGAAAAUGGUGAGAAGAGCAAAUCAUGAGAGAUAAAUGGUGGGAGGAACUAAUUGUAAGAGAGGAAGAAAAUGUAGAUAAAUAGUUUUUUAAGGAUAUUUUUUACUUUUUCCACCUUCAUGGGGCAUAUGUAUGUAAUAGGGUAUAGAUUUGAUAUUUAGGAGCAAAUUUGGUAUAUUCAAAUAAAAAACCCUUUUCAAUAUUUAUCGUUCACUAACCAAAUGAAAAUAAUAAUAAAAAAAUAAAGGAAUAAGCACCGAAAUAUCUUCUUUUUUUUUUAGUUACUAGAGGUAGAGUCUCACCACUGGGGCAAUUUUUUGGAGUGCCAAGCAGAAAGAACAUUUUAACAUAAAAAAAUGUUUAUUUUGAAAGAAAAUGAUUUUUAAUAUAUAAAAAUUUUGUUGUACUAAAAAAAGCUUUUAACAAUUGGUUGGUAGAACGCUUUUUGUUUGUGGCCAGUUGAUAGAACAUAAAGACUUUCUUCUAUAGUUAGAUUUGUUUAUUUUUCUUUUUAUUUUAAUUUGUUGUUACAUUUUAUCUAUUUUGCAAAUUGCAAUGCCCAUAUGUGAUAAACUCUAACUAGCAAUAUUUUUUAUCAUUAGCCUUAUGACAUUUGAAACAAGGCAUAUAUAAUUUCAAUUUUAUAAUUGCUGUUUUGUUAUUUUAAAUUAUUAAAAAUUUAGGCCUUUAAAUCAUUAAUAAUAGUGAAGAAAAUUGAGCAUAAUGAUAACAGUGGGUAGUGAAUCUAGAUGCUAAGGCUGUUGGGAAAAUAUGCUUUUUAAAAACAUAUGUGUUUAUUUAAUUGUAAUAAACAUUUUUUCUGAUUAAUAAAAUUAAUGAGGUAUUUUAUUCAAAUAUCUUAAUUGCAUUAAUAUUUUGAUCAAAGUCCAUUUAAUCAUAUUAUGUGUAUUUAUGUAAUCACCAUGUGGAUUCACAGAAGACAUAAAUACAAGUUAUCUUAUGAUUACAUAAAUUUAGUUCGCAGUUGAUAAAUAAAGUUGGGCACUUUAUUUAGGUAUAGAUUGUAAUGAAUUCAUUGAAUGAUUUGUCUUAAUCAUGUAUGAAUUUAUUGAUGUAGUACGACUACAUUGAACAGGAUCACAUAUGAGAUUUAAUUAACUUUGUAAUAACUGUCAGACUUAUUAAAUCUCAUAGGCAUUGAUUUUAUUGUAAUCUUAAUCUUGAGUUAAUUAUGAUUUCAUGAUUGUAAUUGUUAUUCCAUUUGAGUUACCAAUGGGCACGAUACAUACUUGUGGUCAAGAUUACCCGGUAUCUUGGUGGGAGCAAUUAUGAGUAUUGGAGUUAUGGAUUAACAAUAUAGAAUUUGUACAACACAUCUCUUGAUGGGUUUUCGGCACUUGAUCAUAGAAUUCUCUGGCCAAAGUGUGUCAACAUAUUUAGUAUGUUGAAAAUGAUCAUUAGAGAAAACCAGUAAGUAUCAAGGAACAAGAUGUAGUUAAAUUGAUUGGACAGUUGAGAUAUUGAUUUAAUUAAUGAUGUGGUACAAAAGAUUGUGCAGUAAAGAAAUAAAUGUGGCUUGGGACGAAUUAUUAUUCGAGCAUACAAUUAUGGAGGUCAAUUCCAAUCUUUUAGUGGAGUAGAUUUGGAAUUAAAUAAUUAGGCUAGUUUAAUUACAUGCCUAAUUGUUAUAGCCACUAUUGUAUGUUCCCAAAUGAUCCCCGAGUUAGCUCAUUUAAUUGACUGCACCACUACUGGAUUAAUAAGCAAGAUAACUAGCUAUUUGGGUCAAAAGCCUAAAUAUAUCAUUUAGUGGGAGGCUCCAUUUAAUUAGCUUGUGUGUAAGGGGCCUUAUGUUAUUUUACAAAGUGGGUCUCCUAUGGAAAAAGCAAGUAACGUGAGUUUUGUUUUUCAUUAUUUGGAGCCUAGGGUUUUCACUAAAGGGAGAUAUAAAAAGGCUUAUUUUCUCUAAAGAAAGAGGGGAGUAGUCACUUUAUACAGAUCAGAGAAAAAGAUUUUUCUCUCUAUUGUUGAGAGAAAAAUUUUCUCGUGCUAGUUGCUUUGGUAGUGAUAAAGCCACCCACACGUCAAGUGCAGAUCAAACCUGAGUCAUAACCUGGAAGAUCAUUGGUGACAGUUCGUGAUCUGACAAGCGUGGUGGUGACGGAUCGUGAUCUAACAGGAGUGGUGGUGACGGAUCGUGAUCUGGGAGCCUAAAUCACUUCAGCGGAAAAAGCUAAAUCAGAUUUUCAAGGUACGAUUUCUAGAUUACAAAUUCUUAUAUAUUAUAUGAGAGCGAUCUUAAAAAAGUUUUAUAAAAAUUUAAAAACUGAAUUUUCCCCAACAAAGGCAUGUGAGCAAAUCCCGUUGUUGUGUUCUUUUGACAUUGAAGUGAUUCACGGUUCAUGUCACUAGUAUAAUUGUUUUGCAAAAAUGUAAUUUAUUAGUGAUAGUUUAUGUCAUCGAAUUUUCUGCGACAUAUAUUAGUUCGAUCGGUUCGGUUUUUUAUUUAAUAAAGAAUUGUUAUGUAUCGUUAGUACUCACUUGCUUGAACGCGCGCGCAUUCUAUCUGAGUGCUAACUUUAGUGGAAGGAUGAUCUGAAAAUCCUAUAUAGAGGAUUAAAGAAAUAUAACUUUAGUACCAAGUCAGAAUAGAAAUAAAAAAGCGCAAAACUAAAAUAUUGAAAUUACUUAACUUAUUUUCAAAACAUACUUGGACAUCGAAAUGUUGAGGUUAUCCCUUAUCGAUUGUGGAAGGAGCUGACGAUGAGUUUAUAAGUGUGAGAGAAAUUCUUAUCUUUUAAGAUAGUUUUUGGUAUUAAAAAAGGUUCAAAACUGCACCAAAAACAGAUCAAAGUAUAUCAAAAUAUCAUCACAGCAUCGUUUUCCAGAAGUGUUGACAAAAAUUUAAAAAUAUAAAAAAAGAAAAUCCAAGAUCAAUUGUUUGCCGAAAAUACUUAGAACAAAAAUAAAUGAAAACACUUUGCCCAAAAUAAUUGAGAAAAAAAAUUUAAAAUCUAGUGAAAACUAAAAAUAGAAAUUGUUUUCCGAAAAUACGUGAACAAAAAUAAAUGAGAACACUUUUCCCAAAAUUAUCGCGAAAAAAAUCCAAAAUUUAGUAAAAAUCUGAAAACAGAAAUUGUUUUCCACAAAUGUUUGAACAAAAUAAAUGAAAACACUUUUCCAAAAGCAUUGACAGCACUUUUAGAAUAAUCAGAGGAAAAAAAAAUCAAAAAUCUAGUUGAAAACUAAAAACAGAAAUUGCUUUCUGAACAAAAAUAAAUGAAAAUACUCUAAAGAAAAAAAAUACAAAAUCUAGUAGAGAACUAAAAAUAGAAAUUGUUUUCUGAAAACACUUUGAAUAAAAAAUAAAUGAAAACACUCAGGAAGACAUUAAGCUAAGAACAUGAACGGAAAGCACAUGCAACACUUAUUAGAAAAGCUAAAAAACACAUGAGCAGAAACAUAGAAAUAUAGGUGGCUCUUCCCCUAAGCAAUAUAGGCGGUUGUCUAAGGCCCCACUAUAAAUGAAAGUCUCUAAUUUUAUUGCUAAAUUAUAGCUACUAAUUAUUAACUUAUUAUUUUAUAAUUAUAUUUUCUAUAAACAAACUAUUAAAUUCUUACAAAGUUCCCAACAUUAUAAUUAACAAUUUUAAUCCCAUUUAUUUCCUCCGUAUAUUUCAUUUAAAACUCUAUAAAGGUCACAUAUAUUUUUUUAAAAUUAUUAUCCAUUAAUAUAUUUUUCCAAUAAAAAAAAUACAUGAAACCUUGUUGCUUUGGUGAACAAACUACUUUAUCUACCCUACUUUUCACUUAAGAAAAAAAAAAUUGUUUUACUUUUCAUUGAUUACUACUGCUCAAAGCCUCAAUCCAUCAAAGUUAAAGUUUUCAAAUUUUCAGGCGCUAUCUUUCCAUUCUCUUAUUAAUUAAUUAUGUUAUUCAGUAGUUUUUGUUUCUUUUUAAAAAUAUUAUUGUGUUCAUAGGUUGUUUUCUUGUAAUUAUCUAGUAUAAUUGUUUGAUUAAUUACUCUUGUUUCACUAGAAAAGAAAAUGUCUACUAAAAAAAUGUGCAUUAGGACACAAAAAACUUCAAAAAUAAGAGAAGAAUAGAAAAACUAGUUUAAUCUCAAAAAAGGAGCCAUUUAUACAAACUUAUUUAAAAUCAACUAUGUCACAGGAAAGAUAUAUUUGGAAAAUUAGAAUAUAAAAAUUUGAUUAAUAAUUUUGCAUCGUAGAUGCUAGAGAAAUUGAUUUUAAAUAAAUAAAAUUUGAAUAAAAUUAAUACAUACAUUUUACCUCAAAUUUUUUAAAAGGCCUAAAUAAGACAAUUUGCCUAAACCCUAAAAUAUGAUUGAGCUGCCCUAAAAUAUGAUUGAGGACACUAAAAAACACUUAACAACAAGGAACUUUGAAAAAGUUUGUGAAAACAAAGACCAUUGACAAACGAAAAUUAAAGUGAAAAUAGAAAGUGGUGAGAAAAUACAAACCUUGCGAACUUUGGGGCAGAAAAGUGCUAAAUGUGAAGAAACGAAGGGAAGAGAAAACCUGCAAAGAAAGAAAAUUAAUUAAAAAAUAAAGUAAUUACCUAAAACUAGAAAAGAUUGCAUGAACUCGAAAUGAGAAAUUCUUUUAAAAGGAAGAAAAUUUGAACUCGAAAGGCCAAAAUUUGCGAAGAAAAAACUAUUAAAACGGGGGAAAAAAAAGUCCUGAGAUUUCAUGCGUUUACUUUUGGAGAUGAUCCUUUGUAGUCUGUAGUGAAAGAAGCUGAAAACAAAAUAUAUGCAGAAAAACAAUGUAAGCUGAAAACAAAACUUUUGACAAUGAGUGCAGAUGAAGCAUGUAAAGCCCAUUUGAAAAAACAGAAAAAUCAAAAACAAAAAGAAAUAUGAAGCAUCGCCAUCUUCUCUCAAAAUCCUCUGGGCUCCCCAUCUCCAAGUCAACACAAACCCACAUGAUACAACUUGACCCAUUGUUGUGAGUCAGAUCGAGCUCAAUGAGACAGUAAGGGAAGAGACCCAGCCUACAGAAAUGGGAUAGGCCCAACCCUUGAAUGAGACUCAAGCUAGAGAGCAGCCCAGGACAGGUCAAGCUCGCGCGAGAAAGAGACUAGGAUGGCUCAAAGACUUGAAGAAUGUUCGAGAAUGCUUGAGAUAUCAGAGCAACAAAUAUUGUUCUGUUUUCAAUUAUUGUUUUGUUGUUAUCAUCAAUUUUAUUCCGUUAGUGGUUGUUUUGGAAGGCAAGAAUAUAUUUGUACUGUCAAAGGACCCGUGAGGGCAUUCAAGGAAAAAUAUCAAUUGUCUUCUUCUUCUCGACUUCGCCUGCUUUCUUUUCUCUGUAAUUCUCCUGUUUCAUUUCUUCUCUGUUCAAAUUCUCUUCCAAAUCGAUUAGAGCCUGCACUCGCUCAAAGAGUGGCGUAUCACCACACCUCCAAAUCUUCAAAACCAACAAUGUGAAUUUUCAGUCAUGAACCCAAGAAGAGAAAUUUACGACUCGUUUUCGACUCUCUUAACUAAAAAUGACCACUGCACUCUAUGUAUAUAGAGAGAGAGACAGAGAGAGUAUGUUAUAUGUAAUUUUCCUCGCUUUUGUAAUAAUUUUGGAGUUGUCAGUACAAAAACAAGACCACCACCAAAGAGGUUUACACGUGUAUUUCCUCACACAUGUGGUGUGCCGCCCAUUUCAUCAUCUCAGUCUAAGUUGAAAAUGAAAAAUAAAAAAUCACAGACUACAAUAAUUUUACUAUUAUUAUUAAACUAUACUUAGAGGAGCACUAAAUGCUCAUUAGUUUGGGCACCAUUGAGUUUGAUUCGGUUUUUAAUCGAAUUGAUCUGAAUUGGCUUCGGUUCUGUUCUCUUUAAAUGGUAAUCGAAUUGAAUUAAAAAAGAGAAUGAAUUGAAUCGAAAUUGAUUGGUUCUGCUUCGAUUUUUUUUUUUUUUUUCAAUCUUUGAUUUUUAGUAUGGUUUCAAAUUCGGUGGCCUGAAUAAAAAAUCAGCCAAAAAAUUGUUUCAUAAAAAAUGAACCAAACAAAUUUCUCAUUAUUAAACUGAAUCAAACAGACAGUUCGAAUCACAAUUUAUUCUGCUCCUGAGUUUAUUGCCUAAACCUACCCAAGUACCCAUCGUCUUCAAGCAAAAGACAAAGUUACUCCUUAUUUUCCAAAAGAUAAUUACUCAUUGAUCUAAUUGUUAUCAUUUUAUUCAGUUUUAUGUUGUUGUACCGCUUAUUUUAUUUUAUGUUUACCGGUAAAAUCAUUCCUCACCGUUUGUUUUCAAAGGGCCUGCAAAAUCACUUUUGUAUCCAAGUGUAAAAUAAAAAGGCAAUUUAAUCCAAUGAUAAUAACAAAGAUACCUUCUUAGAACUUGAUGAUGUGAAGCAUCACCCACCAAUCCAUACCAGUAAAAUUAUUCCUUGCCGUUUCUACUGCUAAGCUGUUGAUAUGCUGAUUUUGCCGUGAUACCAGUAAAAUAUAAAGGUAAUUGAAUUCAAUGAUAUAACAGCGAUACCUUUAUUAGAACUUGAUAAUGUGAAGUAUCACCCACCAUACCAUACCAAAUGGUUGAACUUGACUUUAAAAAAUAUCACGAUCUUAAUUCAUGUUGCUUAAAAACAUUCCCACUUCAAAGCUAGUUAACCACUCAAUGAACAAAGUCCAAAACCUUAAGGAAUCAUUUACUUUAAAUUGUGUUUUUAGUGACAUUUGUCUAUGAAUUUGAGCCUGAGGCUGAGAGCUAGAAAGGCUUUAGGUUAUAAAGGCUUUGGGUUAAUCUCUAGCACGUUUUCCAAAUAUUACAAAUAAGAUUUGUAAAUUUUAACGAUUUCCAAUGUAAAAAUUUUCCAUCUUAUUUAUUAUUGCUAAAAUUUUCCAUCUUAUUUAUUAUUGCUAUUAACUCAAUGGCUCUUUCAAAGUAUUAGAUUCGGUCCCAUGAUAAGGACAAAUUAAUUAAGGAGGAAAAAGGAAAGCAUAUUUUCUAUUUUGGGAAAAAUUAUUUUGAAUAAACACUAAUGACUAAUGUAAUCUCGAAGUUCAGAAAGGUGGUGUUGUCGCUUUCUUUCCAUUUAAUUUCCGAAAUUCUACGCUAGAAACUGAAGUAAUAAAAAUUACUGGCUUUAACUUUUUUUUUUUUGGAGUACUAAAAUUCUAAAGAGUUAAUUUGUCCAAUUUUUAAAAAAUUCUUUUAAAAUUCCAUUUCCAAUUAUUUUAAAUUUAAUGUUAAAAAUGCCCUCAUUUCUAAAUAAACACAUUUUAUUUGUUAGUUGGCCUACCAAUCAAUUCGGUAAUUCAGUGCACAAUUAUUAUCAAGCUUGAUUGGACUAUACAAUUCUAUCGAGCUAAAGUGACAAGCAUGCUUCAAUCACAUUGUAAAUUUAUAAUAAUUCAAUUCUCUCUUGAAACUUUUUAUUAAUUAGGGAACAAUGACUCAUCAUUUAAAUUAAACUUUGCUUUAUAGGAUCACAUGUCCAUCUUCAAAAUUCCUUAAUAGCUAUCUCUUCAUUGUCAUCAUUUUUAUCCACAUUAAUUAGCCUAUUCUUUUUCCAUUCAUUUUUCUUUAUUUUUGUGGUUUCUGGCUGUCUCCAACUCAUAUUUUAUCUUUUUUUUUGGGGGGGGGGGGGGGGGGCGUGUGUCCGGGCUGACUGAUUAGUGGGUCAGUAAUGAUCUAAGCAGUAAGCAAACAAAAUAUCAAAAUCAAAGUCACCUUAGCUUAUUAGAUUCAUUAAUUCUCAAUCUCAUUUCAUGGACCGUCAUCACAUAGAUGCAAUUUGGUUUAUAAAGCAAUAGAUGAAUUUCAUGAUGAGCUCUCAUGUACAGCUAGCGAUUAGUCUACAAAAUGCUGUGCUAUUUUGAUUUGAUGUAAUUUUAUAACCCUGCUAACCCUCAAAUUAUCAAUAAAUUAAUCUUCUAACACAAAAACAUUAAAGAAUAAUAAAAUAUAGAAUAUCAAUGGUCCCCUUGUUUCCCGUUUCUUACCCAUAUUUGAAAAAAGCAAAGACAGCAACGCUCCAACAUAUUUGGAAAUGGGUCCUUGCAUAUGCUAUCAUCAAACUGCAAAUUCAUACACCUAGACCUUACUUUCUUAGUAGUUGAGAAACAAAAUAUCACUCCAAUAAAAAUGGGCCUUCAAAGAGCACACUAAUGACUCAAAAGAACAUGCGUGGUUCUUUUUUAUGGGACCUUACUUUGAUGGCUAAUGAGGUAUUGGCUAGGUUAAGGUCUAGUGUUCCCUUUUUAGUUUCACUUCACGUCACCCAAGUGUAUUUUGUUCACUUACCCUAAUUCUUGUACCCUUAUCUCUGAAUGCAUGAAUACAAAUUUGUAAAAAUCAGAAUACCUAAAAUCCUAGGCAAAUAAAUUACGGAAUUACAACACAAAAUAAAGCAAAACAGUUUGUCGAAAAACCAUUUGCAUGCCUAGAAAGUAAAACUACAGGUUUGUGAUAAACUUUCCUCUCACCAAAUAAAAGGAGAGAAAUGCAUGAGACAGAGCAGUUGUAGUAUGCAUUACAACUAUUUUACUUGAGAAAACUUGCAUGAGACAUUUUAGUGAGUCUAUCUAAUGGUACUGUCAUUUAACAGAGCUGUAGAUUUAUUGUGGAUCUCAUUAUUUUUUAAAUACAAAAUUUUGCAUCUCACUUCUAAAUUUAUUUACUAUAAACAAGCUCACUACCUCAACAUGUUCCCUCAUGCAGAUUUUUCUCAAAGUUAAAGAGUGCACUGCAUACAAAACUAGCUAAUUGAUUAGCCACCGCAUUAGAUAAAAAUUCAUUGAUUGAACCAAUAAACGACAAGUGAGCCAACGGUUACGCAAAACCCAAGGGGAUCCAAAUGAGGAUUUGUAAAUGCACAAACCAACUGCGAGUCACAUUCAAUCCUUUGGAAGCAGCAAACUCAAUCACCAACCAUAUAGCACCCAUAAUAUCAGCAUUUAAAAGCCAACUAAUUAAUUACAAUGACUACUUUAGUAUCAGUUUUUGGAGUUAUUCUCAUAAAACCGAAUCCAUUAAUGUCUCUGUUUGACUUGUAUGUUGCAGUAUUUACCCAAACCACAAAUAACCCCUAAAAUAAUAUAAAUAGUAGCAAUAACGAUUUGUUCAUGUAUGUAGACUGAAAGCUUUAAUGUACUGAAAGCUUUAAUGUAUAAUGAACUUUAUUAUAGAUAUCUAUGUGGUUACCUUAAUUUAUUAAAAUGCAUGCUCCAUCGAAACCGGCUCCAAUGUCAGCGUCGUUCUUUCGGGUACUGGUUUCAAAUUCAAUGGACUGAAUAAAAAAAUAAGACGUGUAUAUUGGUUCACCAAAAAUCGAAUCAAUCAGUUUUCUCAUUUAUAAAACUGAAUCAAACUGGCAGUUCGAAUUACAAUUUAUUCGAUUCAUGAGUUUAAUUGCCUAACCCUACCGAUCGUCAUAGAUCUAAUGAUGCGUUUACUUCUUGGAAUGGGAAUGGGGUGGAAUGGUAAUGAGAUUUCAAUGUUUACUUGAAAAAAAUAAAAUGGGAAUGGGAAUGUGCUGGAAUGCCAUUGAUGUAUUUACUUGGCAAAAUAAAUGGGAAUGAGAAUCAAUUUACCAAAAUACCCAUAGUAUUAAUAAUUAAUAAAAAUAAUUAAUUUAUCAUUAUUAACAAUAUUAUCAUUAUUGUUGUUGUUGUUAUUAUUAUUAAAAAUAUUAUUAACAAUAAUUAAUAAUAACUAAAAUAAUAAAGUUAAUAAAAUUUAAUAAUAAUAAAGUUCUGUUAAAAAUAUUCCAUGUUUAUUCCUUACUAAUCCUGCAUUACCUAAAAUCAUUGAACUGGUAUCAGAGCCACGGGGAGGAUAGUGUAAUAUAGAAUAGAGACGUUGUGUUUUAAGACUUGUGUUUUAAUUUAAAAUUGUUUAUGUGGCGAGUGUUUACCUCUGGGUGCCUUAGUAGUUUUUGGUCGUAAGUCCCGAUUUGGUUGAAGGGCAGUAAAACCAAUUCUUAGCCUUGGAUUGUAGCCAUACCGACAAGACUAAAACUAGAACAUAGUGUUUUGACCAUGGAUUCUCUUCUCUGUAGAACAUCAUUCUUUUCCAGCUCUUCUUCCGGGAAGACUAAAGAUUCAAAGAAUGUUGUUAAUUCAGAAGAAUUUGUAAUUGAAGACUUUAAUAAGGCAAUUGAUAAUUGGGAACUACCAAAGAUUUCUAAAGAAAUGAUUUACAAAACAAAAAAGCUUGAUUUUUUAAAGAAUGAUUAUGUGAUAAAAACUGAAGAACGUGACAUAACCCUUUCAAAGCCAUUUGAAACUAUUCACUUAUUUUCAGAACAUUCCUUAAAGAAAUUAAAAGAUAAAAAUUUUAAUUAUGUUCACAUCGGCCUAAUACAAGUCGGAAUAAAACCCUUGACUAAGGAAGGACUUAAUACCUCUAUUCUUGCUAUUUUAAGAGAUGGGAGAUUCAUCUCUUUCGAUGAUUCUUUACUAAGUAGUAUAUAAUCGAGUCUUUGUAAAGGACCUAUAUCAUUUGACUGUUACCCGAACAUAACAGUUUCCUUAAAAGACAAAAACAUACUGAAAAGCAUGAUCUUACAAAUCAAGACCCAUAAUUAUCAUAUGAUAGAAGGGUCAGUCCCAGUAGCCUUAAUCUUUAAAAUCUCUUACAAAGCCAUGAUUUCUGCGUUCAGUACGCAACAUAAGUUCCAGUUAAAAAGAGAAGAGACUCUUCUCUUACAGACUGAUCUGUCUAAAGCCAACACCGUUAUUCCAAAACCAAUCCAUUGGAAAGAUGUUAAUCUUCCAGACGAAUGGAUUCUUGAAGGAGCCACUGCUCCAUUGAUUCCAAAACAACUUGAGCCUAAUACAGAGUUGCAAAAUGUGACUUAGUAUUCUGAUGGUAAAGUCAAAUUAUCAUUUAGAAGAUCUACUUCGACUAGAUUUUCCGACAAGGAUUCUGUCUCUAGUAUCCCCUCAUUGGAAAGGAAAUUUUCAAAAAUUCCUUCUAUAAUAAAUCUUCCUUUCCAAAGUCAACCUAGGUUUUCCACUUCGGAUAUACCUAGUUCUUCUAUACAUUCUGUUGACUAUACCACUAGUGUUCCACACCCAAUCUACACUAGCAAUCAACAUGAACAAAGACAGAACGAGAAGGAACCUUCUCCUCCAACUUCUCCUACAUUUUCGGCUGUCAUAGAAAAUGUAAUUAGCGUCAUUAAAAAAGAUUUUGAAUUGAAUAAAACUCUUCUCCAUAAUGAUUUUUAUUCUGAUACUAAUAAAGAAAAAAGACUUUGAUUUUUCAAAAAUUUCUUAAAUCACAGAAAAGAAAUCCAACAAAUUUAUUAUGAAUUUGUAAACUUACAUCAAGUUCAUUUAUUAUUUUUUGAUUGGUUUGAGAUGUAUGCUUCAGAUAACAAAAUUUCUUAUCCUUUCAAAGAAUCAUAUCCCAUUACUAUUAGAAAGAAAAUCCCUGAAUGGAACCUUCCUGAUAGUGAUAGAACUAUAGAAUCUGAACAUCCACCUCUUAGGAGUUUGACCAUUAACCAUGGUGUGCCUCCUGUAGAGAUCAAAGCCUCACCUUAUAAAAUCCAUAAACCAAAUGAUGUAGAGAUAAAUUUAGGCAGCAUUAUUCAACAGAAUAAUUUCUAUAAUGCUAACCUAAAUACAAUAGGAAAACAUUUGACUAGAUUAGAAAACCAAUUCCAGAUGUCAAACAUAGAUGUUUCUCCUGUUACAUCAAAAUCGGAUUCUGACAAAAAACUUAAAGAGCCUAUUUUCAAGCCUUUCCAGGUUUCGAAAACUAGUCAAAAGCUUGUUCAAGAGUCAAAAUCAGAUUUUGCUAAAGCCAUUAGAGACCAACUAGAUAGAAUAAAAGCUUCUUCUUCAUCUAGUAAAAACCAGAUAGCCCCUGAUAAUGCCCAGUCUAGUAAGAUUGGUGUACUAGAACAAGACAAUAUGUCUAUAGCCUCUUCUGAUAUCGAAGCCUUCAAAGAUGAACUUGUCCCUAGAGCCAACAAAGUUCAUUAGGAAUUAGCCUUACCUACUGUCAAGUCUCCACCUGACUUAGCCAUAAAUAAUAGACAUAGUGCACUAAACCAAUCACGGUUUAAUGCAUCGUCUGUCUAUGAGUGGAAUAUUGACGAUAUGUCUGAAUAUAACAUCCUAGGAUUGUUGCAGCAGAUGACCAUGGCAGCUAAUGCUUAUAAAACCCAAUCGGAAACUUCUAACAAAGCCAUUGCGGAAAUUCUCGUUGCUGGGUUUACAGGUCAACUUAAAGGUUGGUGAGAUCAUCUUCUUACUAAACAGCAACAAUUAGAUAUUCUUAAUGCUAUACAGACGGAUGAGUAUGGAGCCCCCAUCUUAGACGAACUAAAUGACCUUAUUCAGGAUGCUGUUGCACCCUGAUUCUUACCACUUCCUUACAUUUCAUAGGUGACCCUUCUCACCUUAGAGACAAAAACGCUGAGUUAAAUUUAGGCAGCAUUAUUCAACAAAAUAAUUUCUGUAAUGCUAACCUAAAUACAAUAGGAAAACAGUUGACUAGAUUAGAAAACCAAUUCCAGAUGUCAAACAUAGCUGUUUCUCCUGUUACAUCAAAAUCGGAUUCUGACAAAAAACUUAAAGAGUCUAUUUUCAAGCCUUUCCAGGUUUCGAAAACUAGUCAAAAGCUUGUUCAAGAGUCAAAAUCAAUAAUAAUAAUAUUAUUAAAUUUUAUUAACUUUAUUAUUUUAGUUAUUAUUAAUUACUGUUAAUAUUAUUUUUAUUAAUAUUAUCAUUAUUAACAUUUAUUAUUAUUAUUAUUAUAUUUUAUAAACUUGAUUAUUUUAGUUAUUAUUAAUUACUGUUAAUAUUAUUUUUAUUAAUAUUAUCAUUAUUAACAUUUAUUAUUAUUAUUCCCCUUCGAGAGGAAUUCGUCAGGGUUGUCCUUUAUCUCCUUAUCUCUUUGUUCUCUGCAUUGAAUGCCUUAGUCAUGGGAUUCAUAAUGCUAUUAAUGCUGGAAAGUGGUGUCCGAUCGUGCUAUCUCGCAAUGGUACACCUUUAUCCCAUCUUUUUUUCGCUGAUGACCUUCUUUUGCUUGCAGAGGCUACUGUUGAACAAGCUAGAGUUAUUUCGGCUGUGUUAUCAGAUUUUUGUGGUUGCUCGGAUGCUAAAAUAAACACAAAUAAAAUUUGCUAUAUUUUUCCAAGAAUAUGGGUUCUACAGAUAUCUCCAGAAUUUCAGGUCUUCUGGGCUUCUCGGUUACGUCUGAUCUUGUUAAAUAUCUUGGGGUUCCUCUACAUCACUCAAGAGUCUCUUCCAGCAUGUUUCAAGAGAUCGUUGACAAGGUAGAGAAGCGGCUGUCAGGCUGGAAUGCUUCCCACUUGUCCCUGGCUAGUCGUAUCACUUUAGCUCAGUCAGUUCUCCAGGCUAUUCCCAUUUAUGUUAUGUAGACUAUUUCCCUUCCUAGUGGCGUCCGUGAGAGGAUUGAUAGGGCUUGCAGGAGGUUUAUUUGGAGUGGUUCAUCUCCUCAGCAGAAGCUCAGCAUGGUUAGUUGGCGUAAUGUGUGUAAGCCUAAAGCUUUUGAAGGCCUUGGCUUUAAAUCCUUGACUAUGAUGAAUCGGGCUUUACAUAUGAAACUAGCCUGGGGUAUAAUCUCUUCUCCUAACAGUUUAUGGGUCCAGGUCCUUACCACCAAAUACCGAGUUGAUCCCCAUAACCUGCUUCAGGUGCUUCUACCCAUUAUGGCUCUCAUUUGUGGAAGUCUCUUGGGCAUGUUUGGAGUGAGGUUCUUGCGAGUAGGCGCUGGAGUUUGGGUGAUGGAAAAUUUGUUAGAUUUUGGUGGGAUCUUUGGGCUACUAAUAAUGCUCCCUUAAUUGCGUGCGCAACAAACACUAUUCCUAUGGAUAUUUUGGAUUGCAAAGUGGCUGACUUCGUUGAUGUCAAUGAGAUUUGGUGUUGGUCCCGCUUUGAGCAAUAUCUUCCAAACCAUUUAAUUCUCAAAAUAGCUGCCCUUCAUCCCCCAUCACAUGCGAAGGGCAUGGACGCCAUUUUUUGGGCUCAUUCAAAGCAUGGUCAAUUUACUACGAACUCUGCUUAUUUGGUUCUCUCUUAUCACAAUCCAGCUACUGAAGAUGGAGUUUGGCGGUUGGUCUAGAAUUGGAAAGGCCCUCAGAGCAUGCGAAUUUUCCUGCUUAUUUGGCUCUCUCUGAUCACAAUCCAACUGCUGAAGAUGGAGUUUGGCGGUUGGUCUAGAAUUGGAAAGGCCCUCAGAGCAUGCGAAUUUUCCUGUGGCAGACGUUUCACGGUGGGUUGAAGACAAAGGCUGAGUUGGUCAGGCGGCAUUUACCCAUCUCUUCUCGUUGUGACCGUUGUGGGGCUGUGUGUGAAGAUGUUAUUCAUGCUCUUCGUGAUUGUCCUUUGGUAAAGCAGUUUUGGCUCAAUAUUAUUCCUAUAAGUAAAAGACACGGCUGUUUCAACUCUCGGCUUAACCAUUGGCUUCGUUCGAAUUUGAUUGAUGAUAGUAGGGUGGGGAAUGUUUCAAAUUGGGUAGUUUUUUUUUUUUUUUGGGUUGCUUUAUGGCGGAUUUGGUUUUGGAGAAAUCAGUUUAUCUUUAACCAAAUGAUAAUGGAGCGUUUGGCUUUGUUGGUGGAUGUCCGCACUCGAGCUGAGGAGAUUCACAAGCUUCAUAAUCACCCGUUGAUCACAAAGAACAUUAGGGCUCACAAGUGGAUUUCUUGGCAUCCUCCCGUGUGGCCCUGGUGUACCUUGAACAUGGAUGGUGCUCACAGGUUUCAUGGAACUUCUACUGCAGGUGGCCUGAUUCGGGAUCAUCUAGGGCGUUGGCUAACCGGAUUUGGGAUGAUGAUUGGCUCCUGCUCUGUUAUUGUCGCGGAACUUUGGGGUUUGUAUCAGGGGCUUUAACUUGCUUGGAAUUCUGGCAUCCGAAAAUUGAAAGUUGAAACGGAUAGCCUGUGUGUUACACAGUUGGUGGCUAGACCUUCGGUGAUGUCUAAUGAAUAUGCUCCCUUGAUCCAGGCUAUUAAGGAUUACCUUACUUUGGAUUGGCAAGUCUCCAUCUCGCAUAUCUACAAAGAAGCUAACUUCGCUGCAGAUUAUAUGGCGAACCUCGCUUUUUCUAUCCCUCUUGGGCUUAUUGUGUACCGUACCUCUCCUUUGGGUGUUAGGUCCCUCUUACUUCAUGACUCAUACAGGGUCUCUCAUCCCCCCUCUGUUGUUCUUUAGCUCUUUUUAGAGCCCCAGUUCAUCAAAAAAAAAAAAAAAAACCCUUAACGGCCUAUGAUUAACUCAAAACAAUUUUUUAAAAAGAAAAACUAUUUACUUGAACGCGCUUUAUUCAAAGACAAACCGUGUUACUGUUCACAGUAUUUUUUUUUCAUUUUUUACAACUUGAACGCGUUUUAUUAACUGAUUUUUUUUUAAUCUCACUUUCUUCUAAAAUAUCUUUGUCUUUGUUUCUCUCUCUCUCUCUCUCUUUUCUCACUCUUUUUUUUUUGGGGAAAAUUCACAAUAACUCUAUUCAAGCUCAAAAUUUAAACAAUAGUGGAUAUAAAGAAAUAAAAACAAUUGUUGGAAUAUAAUUAAUUUUUUUUUAUUUCAAUUGUUGGAACCGAUUCAUGAAGAUAUUAAAUUUUCAUAUAUAUGCAAGGAAUUUGACUUAGAUUGGAUUCGAUUUUUAUAGUGAAAUCUUGAUUUAGUUUUAUAUUUUCUUCUCUUUCUCUAAUUUUUUUGUUUUUUUGUUAGUAGGAAAAUUUUAACUUUUAUUUUCUCCACAUAAAUCAAGGAUUUGUAAUGGUCCAAUGUUCGUGAGAUUGGAAGAAGGAGAAGAAGGAAGAAAUUAGCUGCCCAGAAUAUUUUAAAUAAAAAAAUAACGAAAAGAAAGAAAUGUAAGAAGAAGAAGGACAAGAGUCUGACGAAAUUGGGAAAGUUUCAGCCAAUCCUAUAAUAAUCACACUACCAAACAAAAAAAAAUUCAAGGGAAUAAUAGAUCGUUUUAUACUACUAAAAAAAAGAAAGAAAAUAUAUAUAGCCCUUAAAAGCAAUUAUAACACAUGUCAUAAGAUCCUUACGAAGCUGAGCAAAAAAUAUAGGAUACAAAUCCGAACAAAUCAUGGUUUUUGAGGGUCCGCGGAGAUUAUUUUCUUAAACAGAUGGCGACUUCCGAAAGGGUUAAACCCUAAUUCUUAUGGCUUAAGGAGAUAGAUAUAACAUGAAAACCUAGCUUGCAAGAUAGGAUUAUUUCCCCUCGACGAUGAUCAUAUGACUAUGCAAGACGGAUCUUUUGAUUUUAGCCUUUUAGUGUGACUACGAUUAUUUUAAUUAUCUACACAUGCCACGAUAAUUUUCAAAUUAUCUACAUAUGCUUUAAAUAAAACAGACCAAGUAAUUAAUUCCGGUAAAUACCUUAGAAUCAUUACACUUCUUUUUGGAAUUCUCAUAAAACCGAACACUAAAUUGGAAACUAAUUCAUGUUUUUGGGUUGAAAGAGUUAAAGGAUAUUAUAAUUGAAAGGAGGUCUUAGUAUUCUUAUUGAAAAUUUAGGGGUUUACUUGACCAUUUUCUCAAUUCUUAAAAUUAUAGGUGUCUUUUUCCAUAAUAAUAAAAGGGUCAUAUAAUUUUAAAUGUCUUACCAAACACGUGUUAAUAAGAAAUUAAAAGUCAUACUAAACAUUAAAUUGCUGAUUUUAAAAAUGAAAUAAUGUACUAAAUCACAUUCACAGUUGGGUCACACUAGCUAUCAUGUUUUAAAACAGAAACGAAUUAAUGCGUACGCUUUGACAUAUUAGAACGAAUAAUACAGAUAAACACAAAGUGAAUGAAUGAAUAUUGAAAAUUUCUCGCAUUAUUCAUUGAACAGAAGAAAUGCAAUUUCCUCGAAAGCAUUUUUUUCUUUAUUAUUUUUAGCUAAAUUUUCUAUCCAUUCAACUUGAAGGGAAAAAAAAAUUCUACUUACAGAAAUACUUAAAACAAUAUUUUCAAACCUAAAUCACUAUCACCGCCUGAAGUUGUACUCCGAAGAAACUCGUGCAUAAUAAGAGAAAUUUGGUUAUGUGUGUAAAAAUUUUCUACAAUUUAGAAAAAAAAGAUCGAAUCAUAUAUAGUUAAUCAACUGAGCCAACUCAUGACUUUGUCCCCAUUCAUAAGUUUGCAGAUCCUUUUCUUGACCCAAGGUCUUUGCUUGAAGACCACUUCAAUGUCAGAACAAGGAAAAUCACCCUUUACAUUCCAUGUGCAAUUGUUUGUCCGUUUACAGUAAAAGUAAGUGCUAAAUUGAUAUCCGAUCCCAUGCGUGACUUCAAAGAGGCUUUUCACUUGAUUGUGUUUGUGCGCGUGGCCUCUCCAAGAAGCCAUCAAGAUUUUCGGGAAAGAAGGUAAGUAUGUCGAAAGAAAGUUUAUGAAUAUGAAAGUAAGAGUAAAUGUCCGUUUCCUCCCCAUAAUUUGAGACUUGAGCCAAUUACUCAGUUAGUCUAUAUAUUUUAAAAUGAAAAAAGAAUAAAUAUGUUUAUGCAAUGUAUUUGUUUCCGUUAAAUUCUAUUCACUAUAUCCAAUAACUAUAGAAGUAGCGACAGAGAAUUUUUGGUUAAUUUUUAAAACUUUAUGUAGUAAUUGAUGAUUGACUCAAACUACAGGUGGCAAAAGAGUAGUUUCCCCAGAAAGUAACUCUUUUUUGUGAAAAUCAAUUCGAAUAUAUACCAACAUCAUCAAAUACUUCAUGGAUCGUUUAAAGAAUAUGAAAUCAUACAGCUUUGAAGGAAAUUUUAUGCUUUACUUAGGCAAGAGAAUCCUUGCGUUAUAAGGUUGUUAAUUUAUGAGAUAUUUUCAAUAUACAAUUCCUUUUCUGGAUAUAUACCUCAAAAUUGUAUCUCAAAUAUUUUAUUUCAAAUACAAUGACAUUCAACAAGAUGUCAUAAUGCAAUUAAUUCACUUGUAACUUGUGAAAGUCUUUAAUUACCACUGGACAAAUGACACGCCAUAUCGUUUGUUAUAAGCUAAUCAAUAAAAAUAAAGAAAAAUAAGUUUUCUUCUUUUAUUGCUUGAAUGUAACAGCCUGCUAGCCUACAAAUGUACAUUCCAAAUUAAGUAAAACUCAUAAUGUUGCGAAAGAAAUCAUAAUUCUAUUCCUAAUGUCUCGUAUUCAAAAUUAAUGACCUAGGAAAAAACCAAACAGGAGAAGCUUGUCAGUAACAAUGAAACAACGAGAGUCAAUAGCACACAUCUUGCUUGUCAGUACAUCUUCCUAUGUUUUUAUUCAGGAGAAUCUUAAACCAAUAUUUGGUGGGUUCAAAUAGCCCUACCAUAUGUAUUUAUACCAUAGAACAUCAGAUGUACUCUAAAAUUUCUCUUUUAGAGAAUAUUUUGAUAUUAAAUUUUCCUUGAAAACAUUGCCUUUCCAAGUAGAUCUCACGUAGAACCAUGUAAAUUUUUUGUCCUAAUUUACUUUAUUAUUUUUCUCUUUUGCUAGCUAGAAACUUCGAUUACCUUGUUAUGAAGACAUCUCCAGUUUAGUAUAAACGAUGCUGCCACUUCCACGUCAACGUCCUCCGUAACGAUCAGCAAUGGUUCUUCCUAAUAAAAGAAAUUCAGCAAUUAAAAUUGUAAUCUUGUUCAAAAUUAAACUUACAUUUUUUUUGCCUAACAUGAAUCCUCUUUACAAAAUUCUUGUUCAAAAUUUUGUUUUCAUGGAUUAAAAUAUCCUUAAAUCAAAUUACAAUUAUGGACACUAAAAUAUUAUUAAAAAACAGAACUCUUACUCUUUGAAUCCACUUUUACAUUCAAUAUUAUAUUUUUUUCUUAAACCCUAAAUUGAUAUAUUUUUUUAUAUUUUUGAUUAAUCUCAGAACACAUAUAAAAAUGAUUCAUAUUGAUUUUAUAAUAACAAACUGUUAUAGCGCAUUCGAAGAUAAUUAACAUGUUCGCAUUUACUCAGUGAAAUGCAAAUAGCACAUUCAAAUGUUAAGGAAUUCGAGAGGUGGUGCUGGAGAUGAAACAUGUAAAUUCAACAUUAGAAACAAUUAUGUUUAUAAUCUUACAAUACCAAACAACGAAAAGCAUGGUAAAGAAAAACUACAUAAUUCUCACUUAGAAGAGGGAAAAAAAUGAAAUACAACUAGAAUGAGGCAGCCAUCAGUCAAACUAUUUCACCAUAACUAAUAGAAAAUAAAGCACGCGGAAUGGCGGCUGAAAGCAAGUAAUGAUAACCCUUUCAACGAACAAAUAUAUUUCAAAAUAAAAUAUCCGCCCUAACAAAAAAAGGAAAAAGAAUCAUUACAAAUACCUGUUAAAGAUAUCCCAAUUGACUCUAAUAUGAUUGAAAUAUUUGAGACUGAAGUGGAAAUAAUACUCAAAAUCAAUUGAGAGGAAUAAAUGAGAAACCCUAAUAUAAUUAGCAAAACUACUAUUGUUAUAUGAAUUGGGUUAGUAAGGGUAUAUUGGGUAUUUAGGCGGUUUUGUUGAGUAAAAUUUAAAAUUUUAAAAAUUUAGAGGUGGGUUUAUUUAGAAAAUGAAUUAAGUGAGUAGUUUGGUGGGUUCAAAUGGUCUCAUCCUUAACCUAAACAUCACCCAAUAAUUUCACAAUAAUUACAUCUAAACCAUAUCUUAUUUUACAAAAUUACCCCUUCAACCAUAAACUUUCUUGAACAUUUUUAUCUCUGUUAUGAAUUUAUUAAAAUAAAUGUGGAUGUUCAUAACAUAUAUCUCUUAGUCUCCCCACUAUCUCCCAAUAGCAACCUUUGGCUUCUCUAUAACUCCCACCAUCUCACAAGAAAUUAUGAUCCAUAAUGUUUCCAUUAAUUUCAUGGAGUGAUUAUGUAACUAUAAAAGGAGAGCUCGUCUCUUUGUUUUGUACACAGAAUUGGAAUGAAUGAAAUCACUUUAUAAUAUAUUGUUAUCUCAUUUUAUUAUUUAUCUUGUGUUGCUUCUUUAUUUGUGUGGCUGACUAAUAGCUUUUCUAACACAUUAUCAGCACAAGUCUCAAGCCACUAAAACGUAAUAUGAUAAUAUCUCUCCUUUGAUCUUACUCGAGAAGGUAUGAAUUAAACUAUCUUCAUUUGUCUAAAUCAUAUACAUAUGUUGCUUACGUAUUUCUAUAAUUUAAGAAUAAUGGAUCUAUGAAGUCGUUCCUUACUUCAUUUAUUAAUGAUUACAUAUAUCUUAUUAGAAUUGGAUUGUAACAUUUAUCUAAUGUUCUAUUAAUUGGUAUUGUUAUUGUUUGAUUCUUCUUAUUAUAAUAUUCAAUUGCUAUUAUAUAUUUUCCAUUCUUGAAAUUAAAAACAAAAAUCAUCCUGAAGUGUGAAUACUACAAUAUAUAAUGAAAGAAAACUAAGAAUGCAUCCUUGAACGAUUGUACUGCACACAAUGAAGAUUUUCUUUCAAAAUAUGUUCCUAAAGAACUAUUCCGAAAUUAUGAUGUUAUUCUCCAAUAUUUUGUUCAUAAAGGAUUCACUAUAUAAGUGUAUAUUUUAAAUGUUCCCGAAGGACUAUACAAAUAUUAUAAGUUCAUGUAUAUGUCAUGUAGGACUAUAUACAAAUUUUCUUCUCCAUAUCUCCCAGAAGGAGUUACAAAGUAAAUAUAUAUAAAUAACGCAUAAAUUUUUCUUUAAAAAAAUUAAGGAAAAAAUAUGACAAUCAAAAGUGUUUGAGUAAUAAAUGCAGUCAUUUUAAAAAAAAAUUGUUCGUUUUCGAUUUUAACAACUUCUUGACUUCGUUGGCUCAUUAUUUUGUUUUCAAUUUCUUAGACUUUUAGUGAUAGCUUUUUACAUGCUUAUUUUAUAUUAGAUAAUUUUCAACAAUAGUUUGACAUGAUAAAAUAUAGGAAUGAGUUGUAAGUGGCAUAUAUAUGUACUUGAACUUUUAAAUUGAUUAUUAUGUUUUUAUUGAAUUCUUGAUGAACAUUUUUUUAUUAUUGUCUUGAAUUACUAAAGUCUAAUUAAUAUUCACAUGUUUAAGAUCAUGAAUAGUACUAAAAUAUUUUUGUGGAAGAAAUCAAUCCCUAAAGGAUUGUAAAAGAUUAUGAUUUUCUUUUAUGAUCAUCUCCCUAAAGGAGCUAAAAAUUCAUAUAUAAGCUUGACGACAAAUCUCUUAUUUGAAAUUAUGUGGAGAAAAAACUCUGAAAGAAAAAGGACAUGAUUUUGUACGGCACAUAUGCUCCUGUAGUAGCAAAUCAAGAGUGCCAAUAUAAAUUAACAUAUGUUUUCUUUUAUUAAAAGAAAAAAAAUAUGAAUUUUUGAUUAAAAAGAAAAUCAGGACUAUAGAUCUCAUUAUAAGAAAUCAACAUGUGAAUAUUAUACCACUAGAAGUGGUUUGAAAUUGAAUCAGUAUCGAUGAUGGACCAAAAGUUCAAAUCCAAAAUCUUCACAAAUUUAGCUCAAUAAAUUUGCUAUGUAAGCUUAAUAAUUUUGUGAAAGUUCUCGUACGAUUAGGGGGAGCAAAGUAAUUUACAGUUGGUGAAUAAUGAAGAUGGAUGUUUGGUGGAUAGUGCAACAAUGCACACAAUUCUAAGAAAUAAAAAAUAUUUCCACAAUUUAAUAUUAGCUAAGGCUAAUGUUACUACAAUAUCUGGUUCUGCUAAUUUAAUUAAGGUCUCCAGAAGAGCUAAUAUCAUGUUACCAAAUGGUAUAAAAUUGCAAAUAAAUGAUGUUUUAUACUCCAGCAGAAAUCUGCUUAGUUUCAAGAAUAUUCAUCAAAAUAGAUAUCACAUUGAAACAUCUAGUGAAGGUAAUUUUGAAUUUCUUUGCAUUACUUCAAUUAUUUCAUGCCAGAAGCAUGUACUGGAAAAAAUACCUUCUCUUUCUUCUGGGUUGUAUCAUACAAAUAUAAGAACAAUAGAGAUAAAUUUUACAAUGAACUAGAAGUUCUCUGAUCCAAAGAUUUUUAAACUUUGGCAUGAUCGACUUGGGCAUCUUGGAUCAAUCAUGAUGCGUUGUAUUAUAAAAAAUUCACAUGGACAUCAAUUAAAGAACCAGAAGAUUCUUUUGCCAACUGAAAGUCCAUGUGCUGCUUGUUCUCAAGGCAAAUUAAUAAUUCGGCCAUCUCCAAUGAAAGUAAGUCUUGAAUCUCCUAAGUUUUUAGAAAGAAUCCAAGGAGAUAUAUGUAGCCCUAUACAUCCAAGUUGUGGACCGUUUCGUUAUUUCUUGGUCUUAAUAGAUGCAUCAACUAGAUGUUCACAUGUCUCUCUACUUUCUAGUCGUGGUGUUGUGUUUGCUAGAUUUCUUGCUCAAAUAAUUAGAUUAAGAGCACAAUUUCCUGAUUUUCCUAUUAAAAAAGUUAGACUUGAUAAUGUUGGUGAAUUUACAUCUAAAUCUUUUAAUGAUUAUUGUAUGUCUAUUGGAAUUGAUGUUGAGCAUUCUGUUGCACACACUCAUACACAAAAUGGUUUAGCUGAAUAUUUGAUUAAGCGUUUACAAUUAAUUGCAAGACCAUUAAUUCUUAGAUCAAAUUUGCCUUUUUCAUGUUGGGGACAUGCAAUACUACAUGCUGCAUCAUUAAUUCGCAUUCGACCAAGUUCUUAUCAUACAUAUUCACCUUCACAACUUGUUUUUGGCCAACAGCCAAAUAUUUCUCAUUUGAAAAUUUUUGGAUGUGAUGUUUAUGUCCCAGUUGCUUCCCCACAAAGAAAUAAAAUGGGUUUGCAACGAAGACUUGGAAUUUAUGCUGGUUUUGAUUCUCCUUCAAUAAUUAGGUAUCUUGAACCUUUAACUGGAGAUCAUUUUACUGCACGAUUUGCAGAUUGCCAUUUUGAUGAACAAAUUUUCCCGUCGUUAAGGGGGAGAAAACACAAAAGUAAAUGAACGACGUGAAAUUCCAUGACAUGCAUCAUCAUUAUCUCAUCUUAAUCCUCAUACAAAUAAAAGUGAACUUGAACGUCAAAGGAUCAUUCAUUUGCAAAAUAUUGCAAAUCAAAUUCCUGAUGCAUUUAUUGAUUCAAGAAAAAUAACAUAAUCAUAUAUUCCAGCUAAAUAUACCCCAGCGCGUGUUGAGAUCUCUAAAGGACAACACGAAAAAACUAAUAAAAGUAAAGUACGUUUGAAACGUGGAAGACCAAUUGGUUUAAAAGACAAAAUUUCCCGGAAGAGGAAAACACAAGAAAAGUUACAAAAUGAAAUUAACACUCCUGAAGAGUCAUUGCCUGCUAAUCAAAUAACAGAGAUUGAUCAAUCAAAUAGUAUUCGUCCCAUUGACUAAGAGGAAGAUUUGCCAACAACUGAGAAAGUAUCAGUUUCUCCUAAAGAGAAACAAAAUGAUGAAAUUAUGAUUGGUUUUGUUGGUAUAGAAAAAUCUUGGGAUCAAAAUGAAAUAAUUAUUGAUGAUAUUUUUUCAUUUACUGUGGCUCUUAAUAUCAUAAAUGAUGAUGAGGAUCCUGACCCCAAAACUGUGGAAGAAUGUCGACAUAGAAAUGAUUGGCCAAAGUGGAAAGAUGUUAUUCAAACAGAGUUAAAUUCACUUGCGAAAUGUAAAGUAUUUGGACCAGUAGUCCUAACACCUGAAGAUGUCAAAUCUGUUGGUUAUAAGUGGGUAUUUGUUAGAAAAUGAAAUGAGAAAAAUGAGAUUGUGAGAUAUAAAACAAGGUUAGUUGCACAAUGUUUUUCUCAAAGGCCUGGCAUUGAUUAUGAGGAGACAUACUCUCCUGUUAUGGAUGCAAUUACAUUUCGAUUUCUAGUUAGUCUCGUAGCCUCUGAAGGGCUUGAUAUGCGUCUUAUGGAUGUUGUGACUGCACAUCUAUAUGGUUCUAUUGAUACAAAAAUUUAUAUGAAAAUCCCCGAAGGAUUUAAAAUGCCAGAAGCAAACAAAUUAAAACCUCGUAGUUUAUAUUCUUUGAAACUACAACGAUCCUUGUAUGGAUUAAAACAGUCUGGGCGUAUGUGGUACAAUCGCUUAAGCAACUAUUUAUUGAAAGAAGGAUAUGUAAUAAUCUAAUUUGCCCUUGUGUUUGUAUUAAAAAAUCUGAAAUUGGAUUUGCAAUAGUUGCAGUAUAUGUUGAUGAUUUAAAUCUUAUUGGAACUCUUGAAGAGCUUUCAAAAACAACUUUUUGUUUGAAAAAUGAGUUUGAAAUGAAAGAUCUUGGAAAAACAAAAUUUUGUCUUGGCUUACAAAUUGAGUAUUUGCCAACUGGAAUACUCUUACAUCAGUCAACAUAUACUAAAAAAGUUUUAAAGUGUUUUAUAUGGAUGAAGCCCAUCCAUUAAGCACUCUAAUGGUGGUACGAUCACUUGAUGUAGAAAAAGAUCCAUUUCGUCCUAAAAAAGAUGGCGAAGCAAUUCUUGGUCCUGAAGUACCAUAUUUAAGUGCAAUUGGUGCACUCAUGUAUCUUGCAAAUUGUACUCGACAUGAUAUUGCAUUUUCAAUUAAUUUAUUAGCAAGAUAUAGUUAUGCACCAACUCGUAGGCAUUGGAAUGGUGUAAAGCAUGUAUUUCGCUAUCUUCGUGGAACAAUUGACAUGGGAUUAUUUUAUCCAAAUGGAUCAAAUUCACCAUUAAUUGGAUAUGCAGAUGUUGGAUAUCUCUCUGAUCCACAUAAAGCCCGAUCUCAAAUGAGUUAUUUGUUUACCUCUAGUAAUAGUGUUGUAUCAUGGCGAUCAAUGAAACAAACAAUGGUUGCAACAUCUUUAAAUCAUUCAGAAAUUCUUGCUAUUCAUGAAGCAAGUCGUGAGUGUAUUUGGUUAAGAUCAAUGAUACAACAUAUUCGAGAAACAUGUGGAUUGUCAUCAAUUAAAAAUAACCCUACAAUAUUAUAUGGGAUAAUGCAGCAUGCAUUGCCCAAAUUAAAGGUGGUUAUAUAAAAGGUGAUAGGACUAAGCAUAUUUCCAAAUUCUUUUAUACACAUGAGCUUCAAAAGAAUGGUGAAAUAUAUAUUCAGCAAAUACGUUCAAGUGAUAAUCUUGCAGAUUUAUUUAAAAAUCCCUACCAACGGCGACAUUCAAAAAAGUUGGUAUAUAAAAUUGGGAUGCGUCAACUCAAAGAUUUUUCUCCAAAUCCUGAAGAAUCUAUGUCAAGAUGAGGGAGAGUAUACUUAUUGGGAAAAAUAAUUUAUUUUGGAAGAAAUUUUAUGUGUUGUACUCUUUUUUCGCACUAGGUUUUUAUCCCAUAGGGUUUUUCCUAGUAAGGUUUUAAUGAGGCAACUUUAUAUCUCCAAAAUUAUUCAAGACAUCAAUGAAUAAUGUACUCUUUUUCCUUUACUAAUUUUUUCCUAAGGGUUUUUUUUAGUAAAGGUUUUAAUGAGGCAUAUUCUUUGUAAUGAACAUCCAAUGGGGAGUGUUAUGAAUUUAUUAAAAUAAAUGUGGAUGUUCAUAACAUAUAUAUCUUAGUCUCCCCACUAUCUCCCAAUAGCAACCUUUGGCUUCUCUAUAACUCUCACUAUCUCACAAAAAAUUAUGAUCCAUAAUGUUUCCAUUAAUUUCAUGGAGUGAUUAUGUAACUAUAAAAGGAGAGCUCGUCUCUUUGUUUUGUACAUAGAAUUUGAAUGAAUACAAUCACUUUAUAAUAUAUUGUUAUCUCAUUUUAUUAUUUAUCUUGUGUUGCUUCUUUAUUUGUGUGGCUGGCUAAUAGCUUUUAUAACAAUCUCUCAAUUGUUUCUCCUUGAUCUUAAGAGAAUCCACAUGAAUGCAAUUGUAUGUAGUAAAAAGUUGUGUAUUUGUUUAAUAAUUAUACUAUACAGUUUGUUCAAUUAUUUGGUCUUUUUUCAUUGUCAUUAAAAAAAAUAUCUUUGAAAUUAUGUUUAAAGAGUCAUUAAAUAUUUAAAUUUGAAAAUUAAAUGGGUGCAUAUGAUGCUAAAUUUUAUAUCAAAUAUCAUUGUUUAUAUUUAUCCUUGACCCAUUUUGGUCUUGUCAUAUUUGAAACUAGAAAAUAGAACCACACUUCGCGCGGCUUUAAAAAAAGAAUUUAGUAUUAUCUUUUUUUAUUAUUUUGCACUUGACGAAACUGAUAAAAAAUAUGAAUUGAUUUUUUUUAAAGAUGGCGCAGCCUUAUAAAACUAAUGUUAUUUAUAAUUAAUUAUUUUUUUGUUAACUUUAAAAAUAUAUAUUAAUGUGUAUAGUUAAGUGUACAUAACAUUUUCAUCAAUAAAGAUUAUGUUCACACUAAUCAAUUCUCUAUUUUUCUUGGUAUUAACAGACUCCCACAUCCUACAAAGUCUAACCCUUAUCAUCCAACUAUCUUUAUCAUUGUUUAACUCAUGAAGAAAAUAGUAUUCCAUGAAGCACACAAUACUAAAAAUUCAAAUAAGUCAAAAAAUAAAAACACAAGAAUAUUUCUAAAGAGGAUGUAGGUUAAAUAAUAAAAAAACCCAAACAUAACAAAUCUUAAAUACUUAAUGUUUAUAGAGUUUGAAGAAGCCAAAAGACACUAAACAAAAGAUUGCAUAAUUAAAUAUGGGAUUAUGGCCUUAAAAUUAGGCCCUAGUGGCAUUGGUGAGGGAAGAUGAAGGAACAUUUCUUCCUAUAUUAAUUAGUUGAUGUAUUUUAAACCAUUAAAGUUUAGUUGUUGGCUUAAUAAAAUAAAUGAAUGUUUCAAAACUUUAAUUAAUUAUUAUUAAUGGUUACAUAUUGUUGAAUUUAAAUAGAAAGAGGAAGAGACAUGUAAUCUUUUGUAAUCUACUGCUUAUUUUCUAUUUUUCAUAUUUUGUAAUGUAAUUAUUUUUUAAUCUCAACCAAUAUAUUAGAUAAUAGAGAAUAUAAAAAGAUGAGAAAUAAUAAUGCCACAAAUCUUAACUACUUAAUAUUUAUGGAGUUUGAAGAAGUGAAAAGGCACUAAACAAAAGGUUGCAUAAUUAAAUAUGGGAUUAUGGCAUUAAAAUUAGACCCUAAUGGCAUUGUUGAGGGAAGAUGAAAGAACAUUCCUUCCUAUAUUAAUUAAUUGAUGUAUUUAAGCCACUAAAAUUUAAUUGUUGGCAUAAUAAAAUAAAUAAAUGUUUCAAGACUUAUAAUUAAUUAUUAUUAAUGGUUACAUAUUAUUGAAUUUAAAUAGAAAGAGGAAGAGACAUGUAAUCUUUUGUAAUCUAAUAAUUAUUUUUUAUUUUUAAUAUUUUGUAAUGUAAUUAUUUUUUUAAUCUCAACCAAUUUAUUAGAUAAUAGAGAAUACAAGAAGAUGAGAAAUAGUGAUGCCACAUCACCUCCUCUAGUCCCAACUUUAUAUAUAUAUAUAUAUAUAGAAUAUAUAUAUUUUACUCUAGACAACUCUCCAAAUAAUUGAAAAGGUACCAAGAAAUAAUUUGCUUGUUUGUUGUUUAUUUAUUUAAAUCUACGUGUGGUUCUAAAAAAACUUACAUGGAACUUAGACAGCUACAAAUAUAGUUCAAAAAAUUUCUAAGUUUUUGCACUCUAUGGCUUCUCUGGAACUGGAGAUAAGUAGUUGAAAGUAAUUUCUUGAAAUUGAGGAGAAGUAAUUGGAAACAAUUUUAGAGCAGCAAUUGAGGAGUUUUGAGGUGUUUGUUUAAAAGGCAUUAUAUUUAAUCUUCCAAAUGAUAUCGUGGUAAAUAGAAAGUGGCAUGGCUGUAAUUAUUGUAAAUAUAUAGGAUGAUAAUUAAGUCAAAUGAGACACUGAAUAUAAGAGACGAAAGAAACAACAAAUAAAUAAAUAAACAAAAAUGCUAAGGACACGUGUCGAAUGCAAAAAAAAUGAGAGAGUGAGUCAGUCACAACUGAUCGUUGCACUUCUCUUCGGGUGGAGUAACCUACAUUCUUUUCUACCAAAGAUUGACCAUUGAUAUACACACUAUCUGUACCAUUCAUUACUUUCUACUCAUUAUUAUCUUCCGUUCUAUUCGUUACUAUCCUUCUUUAAUUUCUUACCAAUAAGAAAGCAAAAUAUCACAAGUAGUUCAAAAGGAUCUGCUCCUUGGACUAAUUAAACCCUCUAAGUAAUUAACUGUGGUAUGAUCGAUGUAUCAUGGAAGACAUUGAAAUGCACGAGUCAAAUAUUUCUAUGUGGUGUAAGAAAAUAUUUCUCAUUACUCCCGAACAAAUUCCCAGUCUUUUAUUUCCAAAAGAAUGUUGUUAUGCCGCCUUCAACGGUGAGGUUUGCACGUAUCUACCAAUCAACUUACCUACAGCAUGGAUAAAUCCUUUUCUCCAAGUUUCUCUACAGCCCUGGCAAUGAGGCCACCAAUGUGUCGAUACCUAUUUGCAGCUAAUGUUGCAACCUACUAAGAGAGGGGAGGAAAAAAAAAAAAAAAGGGCAUCACCACUAUACUUUUAUAUCAUAUUUGGCCGAAGAAGCCAGACCCUUAGUUUCAAGCAGCAAAGGGCAUUGUCAAUAUUAAUUAUUCACAUCACUGUCCAUUGUCCUUAUACCACCCAACUCUUAAAUUGGGGAAAAGGACAGCGAUACGUCCACGUCUAACCAACUGGUCAGUCACCGAAUGUCUGUAUGACUAUUUUGAAUAUAAGAAGUAUCUGGGCAGUUUCUUCAAAUGAGCUGGAGCUGACAAUUCGUGCUCUUUGAUCUGUAACUACCUUUUAUGCCAUAUCAAUCUCUCUUUUUAGCUCACCAACAUCCACUCCAGCAGCCUUGUAAAUAUCAUUUCAUCUAUUUUGUGAGGGCAUGGACAUGGUGGCUGUAUCUCAGGUAUUUCAAUUUCUAGUAGCUUCAAAAAUUUAAUUAUCUGCGUGUUUAGGAAUCUGGAUAUUGAAGAAUUUUGGCAUCCUGUCAACACCAUCAACAUAAAAGAGAUGAAAGAACUCAAUGAUUAUAAAAUCCAAAGAGCUAAAUAAUCAAAGCAUUCUAAUCACUUUAACGACUCAAAGGGAUACAUUUGGUUGCAUUAACGAGUCAAACUUUCAAGUUCAACCAAUAAAUAUGAAAAUCAGUAUCAUCUACUAGACAAAUUAAACUAUUUAAAUUAUAUUUAUAUUUAUUAAAAAAUUUUAAAGUCAAUUGUUUAGUUACUAUCUACACAGAGCAUUAUAAUUAAAAUGAGGUCUUGGUGUCACUUAUUAAAAAUUUAGAAAUUUACAUGACCAUUUCCCCAAACCUUGAGCACGCAGCCGCCCUUUUUUCUGUAAUAAUAAAAUAGUCAUAUCGUUAUAAAAGUCUUACCAAACACGCGUUAAUAAGAAAUUAUAAGCCAUAUCAAACAUUAAAUUGCAUGAAAUAGAAUGAUUUAAAAAACGAAAUAAUGUAUUAAACACGUUCACACUUAGGUCACACUAAUUAUCAUGUUCUAAAACAGAAAUGAAUUAAUGCGUACGUUUUGACACAUUAGAAUGAAUAAUAAAGGUGAACACAGAGUAGAUGAAUAUUGAAAAUUUCUCGCAAUCCAUAACUGCCAAAUUAAAAUACAUUCAUUAUUCAUUGAACAGAAGAAAGACAUGCAAUUUCCUCGAAAGCAUUGUUUUAGUAUUUAUAGCAAAAUUCUCUAUCUAUUCAACUUAGGGGGAAAAAAAAAUUCUACUUAUAAAAGUACUUAAAAUGAUAUUUUCAACCCUAAAUCAUCUUUAUUUUUCUUUAAAAAAAAAAAAAGACCGCUACCACCGCCCGAAGUUUUACUGAGAAAAAAACUCGUACAUAAUAAGAGAAUUUUGGUUUUAGAAAAAAAUGGUCGAUCGAAUCAUAUAUAGUUCAUCAAUUGAGCCAACUCACGACUUUGCCCCCAGUCAUAAGUUUGUAGUUCGUUUUCUUGACACAAGGUCUUUGCUUCAAGAACACUUCAAUGUCAUAACAAGAAAAGUUACCCUUUACAUUCCAUGUGCAAUUGUCUGUCCUAUUUACAGUAAAAGUAAACACUGAAUUGAUAUCCCAUGCGUGACUUCAAAGAAGCUUUUCACUUGAUUCUGUUUAUGCGCGUGACAUCGCAAAGAAGCCAUCAACAUUUUCAGGCAAGAAGCUAAGUAUAUGGAAAGAAAUAAGAUUGGAACAUCAAAGUAAGAGUAAAUCUUCGUUUCGUCCUUAUAAUUGAAGGCUUGAGCCAAUUACUCAAUUAGUCUAUGUACUUUAGAAUUAAAAAAAAAAAUCAAAAUGUUUAUAUAUUUGUUUCCUUUAAAAUCUACCUCAUUAUAUUGUAUAACUAUAGACAGGGCGGAACUCAGGAAAAAAUUCUACAGGGGCCAAUAUAGUAAAAUUCUACCGGAGCCAAAAUUCUACAUUUUCCAAAACUGGCGUAGUUGAUUUGUUUCUUGUAUCAUUAGUGGGCCUUACAGUAAAAUUACAAUAUUAUCUAACAUAUAAUCUUUAUACAUCAAUUGUGCAAGGGCCAAUAUAGACACGUUACACUAAUUUUUCACAUUUUAUUUAGAAACCCUAAAAUUUUUUAAAGUCCUAUAGUGGCCAUGGCACCCUCUAACCUUAUAUAGCCUCCGCCCCUGACUAUAGAAGUAACGGCAGAUAUUUUUUGCAUAAUUUUUAUAACAUUAUGUAGCAACUGAUGAUUGACUCAAACUACAAGGGGGCAAAGAGUAUUUACCCCAGAAAGUAACUCGUUUUUUGUGAAAAUCAAUUCGAAUACAUACCAACAUCAUCAAAUACUUCAUGGAUCGGUUAAAGAAUAUGAAAUCAUACCGGCUUUGAAGGAAAUUUUAUGCUUUACUUAGGCAAGAGAAUCCUUGCGCUAUAAGGUUGCUAAUUUAUGAGAUAUUUUCAAUAUACAAUUCCUUUUCUGGAUAUAUACCUCAAAAUUGUAUCUCAAAUAUUUUAUUUCAAAUACAAUGACAUUCAACAAGGUGUCGUAGUGCAAUUAAUUCACUUGUAACUUGUGAAAGUCUUUAAUUACCACUGGACAAAUGACACACCAUAUCGUUUGUUAUAAGCUAAUCAAUAAAAAUAAAGAAAAAAGUAAUGAUACCGCCACAAAUUUUUGUACAAACUUAUUUUGUACAAACUAAUUUGACAUUAAUUAAUUGAUUGAAUGCAAAUACAAAAUAAUAAAAAUAGAUCCUGUGGACCAAGAGAUAUUUAAUUCAACCAAUGAAUUAAUGUCACGUCAGUUUGUACAAAAUAAAUUUGUACUGUACCUAUAAUAUUACUCUAAAGAAAAAUAAGAUUUCUUCUUUUAUUGCUUGAAUCUAAAAGCCUGCCUAGCCUACAAAUGUACGUUCCAAAUUAAGUAAAACUCAUAAUGCUGCGAAAGAAAUCAUAAUUUGAUUCUUAAUGUCUCGUAUUCUAAAUUAAUGACUAGGAAAAAGCCAGGAAACAGGAGAAGCUUGUCAGUAUCAAUCAUCCGAGAGAAUAUCUCUGUGACCGUUAGAAAGGAAGCUACAGUGCAGGUUCUUGGCUCCUCGCUAAGUCCCAUAAAUAAAGAGAACCCAUUCACAGGCUUACAAACUCGUUCCAUUGUUACAAAUUCUUGAUCUUUGUUCUUGUUAUUGUUUUUUAGCCAUGUCUUUAACUCUUAGGUCUCGGAAACCAAUUGAAAAUAAAAUGCCGAUCAAUGAAUUAGAACUUGACCUCCUGUUGCUUUCAAAACGCCACCAAAGAAGGUGGCGAAUGGCCUUUAGGGUCAUAUGCUUCACCAGAGCUCUUGUUUCAAUGUCCAGAAAGUGUCUUCAAAACAACAACCAAAUCUUGCUUCGCUCCCUCUCUUACGUUGCCUUCGACAUUAGUACCAGUGACGACCAUGAAGUUCCCUUUGUCGGGGUCAACGAGCAGAUGCUCUCGAAGAUGGUGAAAGAGAAGAGUUUUGAGUCCUUGAGUAAUCUUGGAGGAGUUAAUCAAGUUGCUGCGAUUCUUGAAAGUGAUACCAAACGUGGCAUCAGUGGCAAUGAAGCUGAUCUUGGUCACAGGAUCAAUGUUUUCGGAGCAAACAGGUACAAAAGACCAAAAGCAAAAAGCUUUAUAAGUUUUGUUUUUGAGGCACUUAAAGAUACAACUAUUAUCAUACUCUUGGUUUGCGCUUUACUCUCUCUGGGGUUUGGCAUUAAACAAGAAGGCUUGAAAGAAGGCUGGUUCGAUGGCGGUAGUAUCAUAUUUGCUGUGUUUUUAGUUGUCAUCGUCUCUGCUGUGAGUAAUUUUAAGCAGAGUAGACAAUUUCAGGCUCUUGCUGAUGAGAGCAGUGAUAUAAGAGUUGAAGUUGUGAGAGAUGGCAGGCGCCAGGGUUUGUCAAUCUUUGAUGUUGUUGUUGGUGAAAUUGUUUGUUUGAAGACUGGUGAUCAAAUUCCGGCCGAUGGGUUGUUCUUGAACGGCCAUUCUUUGAAGGUUGAUGAGUCUAGCAUGACUGGGGAAAGUGAUCAUGUUGAAGUUGAUGAGAAGAGUCCUUUCUUGCUUUCGGGUACUAAAGUGACCGAUGGCUAUGGCUUCAUGCUGGUCACUUCUGUUGGAAUGAGCACUGCUUGGGGUGAGAUGAUGAGCUCUAUUAGCCACGAGUUGAAUGAGGAGACGCCAUUGCAAGCUCGGCUCAACAAGCUGACUUCUUGCAUUGGGAAGAUUGGAUUAACAGUGGCUGUUCUUGUGCUUGCGGUUAUGUUGAUUCGGUACUUCACAGGAAACACAAGAGAUGAGACGGGAAACAAAGAAUUUCUCGGGAGGAAGACGAAGGUCGAUGAUGUGAUGAAUUCUGUGAUCAACAUUAUUGCUGCUGCUGUCACCAUUAUUGUUGUGGCAAUUCCUGAAGGCUUGCCUCUUGCUGUUACUCUUACGCUGGCUUUUUCGAUGAAGAGAAUGAUGAAGGAACAUGCUAUGGUAAGAAAGCUCUCUGCUUGUGAGACUAUGGGAUCUGCAACAACCAUUUGCACUGACAAAACAGGCACUCUCACUUUAAAUCAAAUGAAGGUUACGGAAUUCUGGAUUGGAAAAGAAGCAAUGACGGGCAAUGCUAGUUCCUCAGAAUUAGCACAUAAUCUCUACGAGUUGCUGCAAGAUGCAGUUGGUUUAAACACCAUUGGUAAUGUUUACAAAUCGAAUUCUGAAUCGACUCCUGAGAUUACUGGUAGCCCAACUGAGAAGGCAAUUCUUUCUUGGGCUGUUCUUGAUUUGGGGAUGAAUAUUGAUGAACCAAAACAAUGCUGUAAAAUAAUCAACGUGGAGGCCUUCAAUUCAGAGAAAAAGAGAAGUGGAGUUUUGGUGAAGAGGAUCCAUGAAAAGACGGUUCACAUACACUGGAAGGGAGCUGCAGAGAUGAUACUGGCCAUGUGUUCUCAUUAUUAUGUCAAAAGUGGGACAACCAGAGCCUUGGAUGGUGAAGCAAGAAAGCAAAUUGAGAUAGUUAUCAAGGACAUGGCAGCCAAGAGCUUAAGAUGCAUUGCUUUUGCUCACACCAAAGUUGUAGAAGCUGAUGGGCAAGUCCAGGAGAAGCUUGAAGAAACUGGACUGACCUUGCUGGGGCUUCUGGGUUUGAAGGAUCCUUGUCGUCCAGGUGUCAGAGCAGCAGUUGAAUGUUGUAGAAAUGCAGGGGUGAAUGUCAAGAUGGUAACUGGAGACAAUGUGCACACGGCUAGAGCCAUAGCUAUUGAAUGUGGAAUCCUGAAUCCUGAUGUGGGUUUAAACAAUGAUGAUGCAGUAAUCGAAGGUGUGCAAUUCAGAAGCCUCUCAGCUGAAGAAAGAGUGGCAAAGAUUGAAAGUAUCAGAGUGAUGGCAAGGUCUUCCCCACUAGACAAGCUUCUGAUGGUUCAAAGCUUGAAGCAGAAAGGCCAUGUUGUAGCAGUGACUGGCGAUGGCACAAAUGAUGCUCCUGCUCUAAAGGCAGCAGAUAUUGGACUCUCGAUGGGAAUUCAAGGAACUGAAGUGGCAAAGGAGAGCUCAGAUAUCGUCAUUAUGGAUGAUAACUUCACCUCUGUAGUGACAGUUCUGAGAUGGGGACGAUGUGUCUACAACAACAUUCAGAAAUUCCUUCAAUUUCAGCUCACAGUCAAUGUUGCUGCUCUUGUCAUCAACUUUGUCGCUGCUGUUUCUUCAGGAAAAGUCCCACUAACUGCUGUUCAGCUGCUCUGGGUGAACCUGAUCAUGGAUACACUAGGAGCAUUGGCAUUGGCCACUGAGCAGCCCACCAAUGAUCUCAUGUCAAAGCCGCCCGUUGGCCGAUCCGAGCCUCUGAUAACAAAACUCAUGUGGAGGAAUCUCAUCCCUCAGGCCAUUUAUCAGGUGACCAUCUUACUGACUCUGCAAUUUAAAGGAAGAUCAAUCUUCGGCGUGAAUGAAAGUGUUAAAGAUACCAUGAUUUUCAAUACUUUUGUCUUCUGCCAAAUCUUCAAUGAGUUCAAUGCUAGGAAACUUGAGAAGAAGAAUAUAUUCAAAGGGAUACACAAGAACAAGUUGUUUCUAGCAAUCAUUGGAAUUACCAUUGUUCUUCAACUGAUAAUGGUAGAGUUUCUGAAGAAGUUUGCUGAUACUGAGAGGCUGAAUUGGGGGCAAUGGGCAGCUUGUAUUGGCAUUGCAGCUAUGUCUUGGCCAAUUGGUUUUCUCUUCAAGUGCAUUCCCGUUUCUGGCACGCAGCUGCUUUUCAAGCAAAUAGCUACAUGAAUCACAAAUCCAUAAUCAAUUCUCUAUCAGUUAAUAUUUUCUUUUAUCUUUGUUUAGUUUCAUAAGUUUCUUAGCUCAAUCUGUAAAUAUAAGUCUAAUAGCUAAUUAGUUCAUAAUGAAAUUUAUUUUGAAUAAAAGAGAAAAUUCUAUUGCUUCAUCAGGUCCUUAGAAUUUCAUUUGACCAAUUAAAUAUAUGGUUAUAAAAUACAUAUAUCUUUAGCAAGUACUAAACAUUAAACUUGGAGAAGAGGAUUCCUUGACUAUAAAAGAAGUAAGAAAUGUUAGUUGAGCAGGUGCUUGUUAAAAGUAAUAAGCGCCUGUUAGACUUACUAAGUGUUUGUUAAAGUGUCCCAGUGAAGCUCCGGAACAAUAUCACGCUUCAUUGCUUUCAACAAACACGUGCAAUGGAAUAAAAACAUUUGAAAGUUGUAAUGUGUAAGUACUGUUGAAAAAAUAGCAUGUAUUUUGAGGGCACAUUUUUAGUAGGUCCCACUUAGCGAAAGUGAGAAAUCUUGUGAGGUUCGGAUUCUAUUCCGUUAAUACUUUAAAAGUGUAAUUUUAUUUUGUCAAAAUGGUGCUUGGAUGAAUGAGAAAUUAUCUCUCAAAGUUCACCCUUGAAGUUGGAAAUUUGAAAGGAAAUGAUGCUUAUCCCACAUGGGAAAAAGAAGCCAAGGGAUUAGUGUUUAUAUAUAAACACUUAACCAUGCAUGAGUAAGAAUUAUAAGGAUAAAAGCUGUCUCCACACGCGUGUGCGCAUGGGUGCAAAUCCAAGACCGAUUUGGUUGAACUCGUGUGUGACCUGUGUACGCGAAUGUCAAUCCCAAAAUCAUCCAAGCUUGCAUGGCAUGUUUUUAAUUUCCUUUUGAAUUUUUUAUUGUAACAGUUUCACAACAAUUAUUUUUUAGCUGUUAUACAAUUCACGUUUUUGAAUUCAAUUUUGAAAUAAAAUUGAUUGAAUUGAAUUGGCUGUUAUAACUAUUUAAUGGCAUAUAUUGAAUUCGGAAAUUCAAUACAAUACUGCUGUUACAUCCUCAAUGAGUAUAAAAGGGCACCUCCUCUUCUGUUUUUUUACACACUGAAACCAGCACACAGAGCACUUGCAAUUUUUCUUUCCUCCUUCUUUCGUCUAUUUUUCUGAUCGAGUUUGCUGCUGUUAUGGUUCGCCGGAAUUACAUGUCUGUGCUUGAUCGGAAAUUCGUGCCCGUUGUAUCUUGGGAAACAGUUACCAGCAGACCUAAAGCACUUCAGUAGGUGGUAAAUCUGUUUUAAGGAAAUUGUCCUGUGCAGGCCUCGGGUUUCAUUUUCUGUUUCGAUUUUUCUUUUCCCUGCUGUUUUUCAGUUGUGAUUUCCAGUUGCUGUUUGCGUUGCUGCAGUUAAUUUACCUACUGGUUUUAUUUGUUUAACUCACUGUGUUUGUUCUUUUUCCUUACAAGUACUACAUGCAACAGCCGUUAGAUGCAUUUAACCCCAGCUAUAGGAUUAGUUUGUAAAGACUAAAGAUGUAGUGAGAAAUUACAAAGCGAUUCCCUAAUAUAUCUUGCGGAAAAUGUCAAGCUCAAUGGAAGCCAACGUUAAUGCUUAUACAAGCCUAGUUUGUACAAUAAUUUCUAGAGUAAUGCUGCACUUUUUGAGCCUAAAUUUUUCUACUUAUGAAAUUUUCUACUCUUAUAUUGACUGCUUCCUUCUUUUAAAUUUUAAGACUGCCUGCAUAUUUGAUUUUGAUCGAAAGACACUUUCCAUUGAGCUUUCAUUUUGCCAACUCUACUCCACAAUUUUGAGGCCACAAAGCAAUGACGGGAAAGAUGAUUAGAAGUUUCUGCACUUGUGUUUACAAAAUUAUUUGGUGCAUUUUCAUCAUCACUACAACAAAAGGGCCAAUUCAAAAGAUGUUGUCUAACAAAAUAAGUCGUCAACACGCUUAAGUCACAAUUCUUAACCUGCUGAGUUAGAAAUGAGUAAAUUACUUGUAUAUAACCAAAGAAGCUUGGAAAGCUUGUACAAGCAUGAAGUUUACAUAUCAGCAGAUUGAUGCGUGUUCAAUGUCUAUCUUGUGUAAAAAUAACAGAAAUAAACUGUUUGGCUCAAUAGAAAAUCUCUGAGAAAAUAAAACUAUGAAAUUUCCAGUAAAUUCAUUUCUUAUUAUUUUGUUUAUAACCUCACGUUUAUAUACUAAGUUCUCACACGUGAUUUCUACUUGUAAUUAACAAACUCUACAUAACGAACUAUGAGCUGUAUAACGAACUAUGAGCUGAACUUCUACAUUUCACUAAUAACCUUCUGCUGACGUGGCUUCACUGAACUGCUUGAAUAGUGAGCUUCCUUCACAGCCCCCCUCAAACUCAAGGGACAUGGGAGGACGUUGAGUUUGGCUCUCAAAUAGUUGAACUUUAUGAAUGAAAGUGGCUUUGUCAUUAUAUCAGCUGCUUGCUCCUCACUUGGUACAUACUUGAUGCUCAAUUCUCCAGCAAGUACUUUUUCUCUAACAUAAUGUAUGUCAAUCUCAAUAUAUUUCGUUCUUGAAUGAAAAACUGGAUUGUGAGCUAAUUCAGUUGCACUAAGAUUAUCAAACCAAAUGGCAGGUUUUUCUGUGCAUUGUAACUUUAACUCAGAGAACAGAGACUGCAACCAGCUUAUCUCUGCACUUGCUGCAGCUAGUGAUCUAUAUUCACUUUUGGUACUUGACCUAGCAAUGACUGGUUGCUUCUUGGAUGACCAAGAUACCAUAUUGUGACCCAAGUAAACACAAUAAGCACCAACUGACUUCCUGUCAUCUAGGUCCCCUGCCCAAUCUGCAUCUAUGAAGCAUGUCAACUUCAUAUCACCCUCUUUGAUAAAUUUGAGUCCAUAAUUCUGUGUUGCUUUCAUAUAUCUCAGCACCCGUUUGCAUGCCAUGAGAUGCUGCAAGGUUGGUGCAGAAACACAUUGACUUAGUUUAUGUACACUUAAUGCAAUCUCUGGUCUUGUCAAAACCAAAUACUGCAUUCCACCAACGAUGCUCCUAUAAUGUGUAACAUCUUCAACAUAAUGACCAAGACUUCCUUGAGCUUCUUUCUGCAGUUUCAGUCCUAUACUCAUAGGAGUUUCUACAUCCUUACAAUUUAUCAUCUCAACCUUUGAUAACAGGUCCCUUAUAUAUUUCCUUUGUGAUAAGUAUACAAAAUCUGUCAUACAACACUUCAAUUCCUAAGAAGUAAGAGAGAGCUCCAAGAUCCUUUAGAGCAAACAUUGUGCUAAAUUCAGCAAUAAAGCUUUCUAGUUCAGAGCUAUUUGGUCCUGUUAUUAGAAUGUCAUCAACAUAAAUGAGGAUUAAGAUCAGAGAUGAUUUACUCCUUAGAAAUAAAGAAGUAUCUGAACUGGAAUUCAAAAAUCCCCACUGUAACAAGCAUCCUCUCAACUUAUCAUACCAAGCUCUUGGAGCUUGUUUAAGGCCAUAUAAAGACUUAUGAAGCUUACACACAUAUGCUGGUUUUUCAACAUCAACAAACCCCUCUGGCUGAUCCAUUAACACUUCCUUAGUCAACUCUCCAUUGAGGAAAGCAUUAUUCAUAUCAACUUGUCUUAUCUUCCAUUGAUUCAUCACAGCCAAGCUUAGAAUUACCCUUACAGUAGCUGGCUUUAUGAUAGGGUUGAAUGUUUCAAAACAAUUGACUCCCAUAAUCUGUUGGAAUCCCUUAGCUACUAACCUAGCUUUGUAUUUGGCCACACUUCCAUCAGUAUUAUAUUUCACCCUGUACACCCAUUUAUUCCCAACUACCUUUUGAUCAACUAUUCUUGGCACUAGGGACCAUGUACCAUUCUGCAUUAAGGCUGCAUACUCUUCUUUCAUGGCUAUAAGCCACUUUGGAUUUUGCAUGGCCUCAUACACUGAAUCAGGUUCUUUGUGAAUAAGAGUUGCAGUAUAUAGUUAGGUUUGAAGAUACCAGCUUUGCUUCAGGUAGUCAUGGAAUGGAUAUUAGGUUGAACAAAUGAUGAUGGAUAAGGUACAGGUUGAGGUGUUGGAGUAUUUGGUUCUAUAGAUGGUUCAUUAGUUGAUAUGUGUUGCUGUAAAUGAAAGUUUUGGUUAUCAGUAUGAGAUGGAUUGUUUGAACUCUGAGAGCUACUACUGAUAGAACUUGCAGAGUGUGGAUUGUAUGAGCUGUCAGUAACUGAAACUAAUAAUGUUGACAAAUGGUAUACUUUUUGAGAUGUGAAAGAUUGACUUGAAUGAGAAGAUGAUUCAGUAGAAUGAAAAACUGAAUCUGUGGAAUAAGGAAAAAUAGACUCAUAAAAAACAACAUGUCUGACUAUGUAUAUUUGACCUGAGGGAUGCAUACACUUGUAUCCUUUAUGAGAUGGACUAUAACCAAUGAAAAUACACUUGCUUGAGUGAUAAUCCAAUUUAUGCUUAUUGUAAUCUCUUAAGUAAGGAUAGCAUGUACAACCAAAGCACUUGAGCAUACUAUAAUCAGGUUUAUGGUUGAAUAUUUUCUCAUACGGAGUAAUAAGUUUCAAGGUUGUAGAUGGUAGUCUGUUAAUGUGAUACACAGCUGUAUGAAAAGCAUCCCACCAAAACUUAAAAGAUAACUUGGCUUGUGCCAAUAAGGUGAGUCCUAACUCAAUAGUGUGUCUAUGUUUCCUUUCAACCACUCCAUUUUGGUGAUGUGUGUAGGGACAAGAGUGUCUAAAAAUGAUUCCACACUAGUUUAAGAAAUGAGUGAAUGCUCUAUACUCUCCCUCCCAAUCAGAUUGCAGGUGUUUAAUGGUGGUGCUAAGUUGGUUUUCAACCUGCAAUUUGAAUAAUUUUAAGACUUCUAAGGCCUCUGAUUUCAGUUUGAGGGGAUAGAUCCAAGUAUAACGACUGAAAUCAUCCACAAAGCUUAUAUAGUAAGUAUAUCUAUCUCUAGAUGGGAUUGGUGAUGGUCCCCACAAGUCUGUGUGAAUGAGUUCAAGAGACUUAGUUGUUUUGAUUUCUGUAAUGGGGAAAUGAAGUUUAUGAGAUUUGCCCAUCUGGCAGGCUUCACAAAUUUGAUUCAGUGCUUGUUUCAUGCUGUUACUUGAGAGAUUAACAGAAGCAUCAUUUUUCAGCAAAUGCAUUAGUGUUUGAGAGUUAGGAUGACCAAAACGUCUAUGUAGAAGGAGUGUUUUAUUAUUCAAUCCAUUACAAGAUGAAUUUUGACUGGAAACUUUAUUGUCUGAUGCAUUACAAAGAGAAAUAGAACUGAAAUCAUUAUUCUGAGUGUUAUUUAGAACAUGAGGAUCAAAAGAACAUGCAGACAACAUUGACAAUGGUUGAAUAUGAGAAGAUUGGCACAGGAAGGAGGAAGGAACAGACUCAGAUGGCUUGAGAAUAAGCUUAUACAAUCCUUUCUUAGCAAGUCCUUUCAGAAGCACUUGCCUCAUUAGAGAAUCCUUCACAUAGCAGACAUCACCAACAAAUUCAAUGGACAAGUUAUUAUCAGUGGUCAGUUUUGAUAUGCUUAGCAAAUUCUUUAUGAUAUCAGGCACUAAUAACAUAUCUUUGAGCAAAAUAUAUGUUGGUUUAUAAGCAGCAUUAGAUCUCUUAUAAGUAAAACAUGCAUCACCAACAUGAGUUAUAAACAAACCUUGACCAUUGCCGAUAACAAGCUGAUCUAAUCCCUUGAAUUCUUCUCUGACAUUCAUGUUAGCCAUAUUGUUGGUCAAGUGAUGCGUGGCACCACUGUCCAGAUACCAUCCAUCAUCAGCAGGCCCUUCAUAAUUGGUAAGACAAGCUUCAGGAGUAUUAAACUCUGCAGAUGGAUAAGGUGAGUGAUACAUGGGAUUAAAACCAGAGUAAAAAGGAGCAGCAUAGUUGUCUUCCACUGUUGGACCAGCAUAAUUUGUAAAUGAAUCAAAAUUAGCCAUAUAAGCAGCCUUUGACCCAAAUGAUCUACCCCUUCUAAAGUGUUUGGGUAAUGGAGUAGGACUAUCAUCAUAUUUGUGCCAGCAUUCAUCUGCUGUGUGCCAUUGCUUAUGACAUAUCUGACAUAUUGGUGGUGAUUCAUCAGAGGGUAUGUUAGCUGAAGGAUGAUAAGCUGGAGGAGGAUAAUUUGGUCUUACAGAUGGCCUUAGAAAUUGCAUUGUUUGACCUCUGUCAUAGCCUCCAAAAUUUGCAACACUAGUAGGAGAUCCUAUAGGAUAUGGAUUAUAAAAUACACCUCUUCCACCAUUAAAGCUUCUAUUACCAGAACGACCACAAUAUCCAUUACCAAAUGUGCCUCUUCUAAAAUUUCCUCUCAUGUAAGAGUUAUUAGCAUUCAUUGAACUGUAAUUUGCAUUAAGCAUGGUUUUGGUACCUUGACUCUGUUCAAGUCUAGCUUCAUGUGUCAACAGUAAGGCAUAUGCAUCAUCAUAACUCAUCUUUUUUGCAGUAAUGAUUGAAGCUAGAUCUAAAUAGCCAGAACCUAAACCAUUUAAAAUCCUCAUCAAUAGAUCUUUUUCAGUAAUGACAUCACCAGCACAGGCAAGUUUGUUUACGAGUAGCUUCAUUUUUGCAUAGUAUUCCUCAAUAUUCAUUGAAUCUUUCCUUAAGAUGUUCAUUUCAUAACGAAGUUGCAUGAUCUUAGCUUUAGAUUGAACUCCAGUUUGUCAAUAGAUUUCCACACAUCAAAAGAAGUAUCAUAGCUAAGGACUGAACUUCGAAUACCUUCACUUAUGGUUGAUAGCAGCCAACCAAGAAGUGUUUGAUCCAGUGCUCUCCAGUUGACAUAAGCUGGAUUUUCAACGUUCUCUCCAGAUCCAUCAGUUAUUGCAUUCGACAGAUAUUGCUCUGGAACAAUUUGUGGUUCUGAAAUGAAUUUUUCCAGGCGAUUUCCUUUUAUCGAGGUCAAGACUUGUUUUCGCCAAAGCAAAAAAUUAGAUCGAUCUAAUUUCACAGUAGCUGCGAAGGUGAACGAAAUUUGUGAUGGUUGAUUUAAAUUCAUGAUCGACUGAUUUGAAGUUGCAGUGCUUGAAUUAGCCAUUAUGGCUCUGAUACCAUGUAAAAAUAACAGAAAUAAACUGUUUGGUUCAAUAGAAAAUCUCUGAGAAAAUAAAACUAUGAAAUUUCCAGUAAAUUCAUUUCUUAUUAUUUUGUUUACAAGCUCACGUUUAUAUACUAAGUUCUCACACGUGAUUUCUACUUGUAAUUAACAAACUCUACAUAACAAACUAUGAGCUGUAUAACGACAUUUUAACCAACUCAGCUGAACUUCUACAUUUCACUAAUAACCUUCUGCUGACGUGGCUUCACUGAACUUCUCGAAUAGUGAGCUUCCUUCACCAGCUGUUUGUAAAAGUAAAAAAUGGAUUAGCUUACCAAAAAUAGACCAUAGCAACUCAGAAAUUUGUUUCUCAAUUGCAAUAAUAGCUAAUCCUAUACUCCUAUAUAUCUUGCCGCUAGCCCUACACGAGUUUCAGGGGCAACAAUACGUGAAUCAGCCUUGAUCAUCAGAGUUGUUAAAUGGUAUUUUUUUAGCCUUGGGAGCAUCGGCCGAAAUUUCUCUGAAGUGAGCUCCAUACAGCUUGGACUCCUGCAAUGCGAUGAGGCACAGUGAAAACUAAUUCAGGGCAGAAAACAGAUGACUAAGCUUGCUUGCACAACAUUUCCAAACAUAUGUGCCAAGCAAGUGGAUUAACAGCAAAUCGAAUGAAAAAAAGAAAAAUACAACAAAAAGGAUAGAACUGUACACCUUCUUCUUUACAUGAGUGCCAAAUUUCAGAAGAGCAUCUGGCACAACUUGUCUAGCUUCUCUGAGAACAUUCACCAGCUCCCCAGCAAGUGCCUGAAAUAGCAAUGUCACUAGCUAAAACAAGAUAUUUGGCAUAACACAAGGAUACAAUAGUUUUGACUCCAGAAUUCAAGCAAAGAUAACAUGAAAAAGUUUGAUAUGCUACCUUAUUAUGAUUUGUUAAGAAUGGGUGAGAGACACCCUUCUUACCGGCCUGGCCAGUCCUACCAAUUCUGUGAACAUAAUCCUCCGUGGUUAAAGGGAAAGAAUAGUUAAUAACUACUUCAACAUCAGGAAUAUCCAAUCCUCGUGCAGCAAUGUCAGUAGCAACCUGCAAAUACAUUCACCGUCAAUACUACAACAAUCAAGUUCUUGGAAAUAUAAAAGAGAUGACAAAAAUUUGGAAUUAAUAUUACACCCAAUCAUUAAUUGCAAUAAUCAUGUUGUGCUUUUCUUACACCAUAUUUAGUCAAUCAGAAACAGAUUUACCAGUUUGGAUGUGCACCUCACUGUAUUUUUUUUUUUAAAAACAAUUUCAUUUCCUUUUAGUUUGCAGAAAUCCCAGAGAAUUACUAAACCACAAUGCUUCCACUGUUGUAGUCAAAAUACUGAUUUGCAAAUGCGUACCAUCAAAGGACAAGUUCCUUCCUUGAAUAAUGACAGUGACUUUGUACGUUCAUGCUGUGCUUUCUAAUAUAUAAAAAUUUUACGACCUUCCAACCACUGAGAGCAGAAGAAAAAGAAAAAGAAAUAAAUAAAACCUCAAAAGUUACAGGCAAAUGGGAUUCAUCAACACAGUUCUACCUCCAGCUGCUUGAUGCCGUUGGAGUGCCAAGACAGAAAGAAUAUUUUAACUUAAAAAAAAUGUUUGUCUUGAAAGAAAAUGAUUUUUAAUAUAUAAAAAUUUGUUGUACUAGAAAAAGCUUUUAACAAUUGGUGGGUAGAACACUUUUUGUUUGUGCCCAGUUGAUAGAACAUAAAGACUUUCUUCUGUAGUUAGAUUUUUUUUUUAAUUUUAAUUUAUGGUUACAUUUUAUCUAUUUUGCAAAUUGCAAUGCCCAUUUGUGAUUAAUUCUAACUAGCAAUAUUUUUUAUCAUUCGCUUUAUGACAUUUGAAACAAGGCAUAAUUUCAAAUUUAUAAUUGGUGUUUUUUUUUUUUAAUUAUUAAAACUUUGGUCCUUUAAAAUCAUUAAUAAUUGUGAAAAAAAAAUUAAGCAUAAUGAUAAACUGUGGGUACUGAAUCUGGAUGUUGUUGUGUUCUUUUGACAUUGAAGUGAUUCACAAUUCAUUUCACUAGUAUAAUUAUUUUGCAAAAAUGUAAUUUAUUAGCGAUAGUUUAGGCAUCGAAUUUUCUGCUACAUAUAUUAGUUCGGUUCGGUUUUUCAUUUAAUAAAGAAUUGUUAAGUAUUGUUAAUACUCACCUGCUUGAAUGCGCGUGCAUUCUAUUAGCUUUAGUAGAAGGAUGAUCCGCAAAUCCUGUAUAGAAGAUAUAAAGAAUAUAAGUUUAGUACUAAAUCAGAAUAGAAAUUAAAAAGCGCAAAACUAAAAUAUUGAAAUUACUAAACUUAUUUUCAGAACAUACUUAGGACAUCAAAAUGUUGAAGUUAUCCCACAUCGGUUGUGGUAAAAGCUAGUGAUGAGUUUAUAACUCUGAGGAAAAGUCAUGUCCUCAUAGCUAGUUUACGAGGUUGAGAAAUGCCCAAGGCCAGGCCUAAAACAGAUCAAAAAAUCACAGCAUCAUUUUCCAAAAGGAUUGAUAGUAGUAACAAAUAAAAUAAAAAAAAUCCAAAAUCGAUUGUUUUCCAAAAAUGCUUGAAUAAAAAUAAAUAAAAACACUUUUCCAAAAGCAUUGACAACAGUUUUAGAAUAAUUAGAGGAAAAAAAAAGGUUCCAAAAUCUAGUUGAAAACUGACAUCAGAAAUUGUUUUCUGAAAACACUUGAACAACAAUAAAUGAAAAUACUCUCAAGAAAUAAAAUACAAAAUCUAGUAGAAAAUUAAAAGCAGAAAUUGUUUUCCGGAAACACUUCGAAUAAAAAAUAAAUGAAAACACUCAGGAACACAUGAAGCAAAGAACAUAGGAAAACACGUGCAACACUUUUUAGAAAAGCUCAAAAACGCAUGGCGGAAACAGAGGAAACACUGGGAACACUUAUAAGAGGACACUCAAAAACACUUAAGAACAAGGUAGUUUGAAAAAGUUGUGAAAACAAAGACAAUUGACAAACGAAAAUUAAAAUGAAAAUAGAAAGUGGUGAGAAAAUACAAACCUUGUGAAUGUUGGGGCAGAAAAGUGCUGAAUGUGAAGAAACGAAGAGAAGAGAAAACCUGCAAAGAAAGAAAAUUAAUUAAAAAAAGAAGUAAUUACCUAAAACGAGAAAAGAUGAAAUAACACAGGAUUCUGCAUGAACUCGAAAUGAGAAAUUCUUUUAAAAGGAAAAAAAUUUGAACUUGAAAGACCAAAAUUUGCAAAGAAAAAACUAUUAAAAGGGGGAAAAAAAAAAAGUCCUGAGAUUUCAUGCGUUAACCUUUGGAGAUGAUCCUUUGUAGUCUGUAGUGAAAGAAGCUGAAAACAAAAUAUAUGCAGAAAAACCAUGUAAGCUGAAAACAAAACUUUUGACAAUGAGUGCAGAUGAAGCAUGGAAAGCCCAUUUGAAAAAACAGAAAAAUCAAAAAGAAAAAGAAAUAUGAAGCAUCACCAUCUUUUCUCAAAAUCCUCUGGGUUCCCCAUCUCCAAAUCAACACAAACCCACACCUCCAAAUCUUCAAAACCAACAAUGUGAAUUUUCAGUCAUGAACCCAAGAAGAGGAAUUUAUGACUCCUUUUCGACUCUCUUAAUUAAAAAUGACCACUGCACUCUAUAUAUAUAUAUAGAGAGAGAGAGAGAAGAAUGUUAUAUAUAAUUUUCCUUGCUUUUGUAAUAAUUUUGUAGUUGUUAGUACAAAAACAAGACCACUACCGAAGAAGUUUACACAUGUAUUUCCUCACACAUGUGGUGUGCCCACUUCAUCAUCUCAGUCUAAGUUGAAAAUGAAAAAUAAAAAAAUUAUAGACUACAAUAAUUUACUAUUAUUAGUAAACUAUGCUUAGAGGAGCACUAAAUUCCCAUUAGUUUGGGCACCAUUAAGUUUGAUUCGGUUUUUUAUCGAAUUGGGCUGAAUUGGCUUCGGUUCGGUUCUCUUUAAAUGGUAAUCGAAUUGAAUUGAAAAGCGAAUGAAUCGAAUGGAAAUUGACUGGUUCUGCUUCGACUUUUUGUAUAUUGAAUUUUUGGACCUCUGAGUCUUUGUUAUCAGUUGAAUUUUUUUUUUUCCGAUCUAUGAUUUUUAGUUUGGUUUCAAAUUCAAUGGCCUGAAUAAAAAAUAAGCCAAAAAAUUGUUUCAUAGAAAAUGAACCAAUCAAAUAUUUCAUUAUUAAACUGAAUCAAACUGACAGUUCGAAUCACAAUUUCAUUAUUCUGUUCCUGAGUUUUAUUGCCAGCACCGGCCCAGGUACCCAUCGUCUUCAAGCAAAAGACAAAGUUACAAAAGAUAAUUACUCGUGGAUCUAAUUGUUAUCAUUUUAUUCAGUUUUAUGUUCUUGUACAUUUUAUUUUUACCAGUAAAAUCAUUCCUUACCGUUUGUUUUCAAAGGGCCUGCAAAAUCACUUUUGUAUCCAAGUGUAAAAUAGAAAGGUAAUUAAAUUGAUCAAUGAUAUAACAACGAUACCUUUCUUACAACUUGAUAGUGUGAAGUAUCACCCACAAUACCAUACCAAAUGGUUGCACUUGACUUAACAAAAAUAUCAUGAUCUUAAUUCAGCAACAAUAAAAAUAUAAUUAUCAUUCAUGUUGCUGAAAGACAUUCCCACUUCAAAGCCAGUUAAACACUCAAUGACCAAAGUCCAAAACCUUAAGGAAUCAUUUACUUUUAAAUUGUGUUUUCAGUGACAUUUGUCUAUGAAUUUGAGCCUGAGGCUGAGAGCUAGAAAGGCUUUAGGUUACAAAGGCUUUGGGGUUAAUCUCUAACACGUUUUCCAAAUAUUACAAAUUAGAUUAAGACUAUGAUUUUGUAAAUUUUAACGAUUUCCAAUGUAAAAUUUUCCAUCUUAUUUAUUAUUGCAAUUAACUCAAUAGUUCUUUCAAAGUAUUAGAUUUGGUCCCAUGAUAAGGACAAAUUAAAAAGGAGGAAAAAGGAAAGCAUGUUUUCUAUUUUGGGAAAAAUUAUUUUGAAUAAACACUAAUGACUAUUAUCAAGCUUGAUUGGACUGUAUAAUUCCAUCGAGCUAAAGUGACAAGCAUGCUUCAAUCACAUUGUCAAUUUGUAAUAAUUCAAUUCUCUCUUGAAACUUUUUAUUAAUUAGGGAACAAUGACUCAUCAUUAAAAUUAAACUUUGCUUUCUAGGAUCGCAAGUUCAUCUUCAAAAUUCCUAAAUAGCUAUCUCUUCAUUGUCAUCAUUUUUAUCCACAUUAAUUAGCCUAUUCUUUUUCCAUUCAUUUUUCUUUAUUUUUGUGGUUUCUGGCUGUCUCCAACUCAUAUUUUAUCCUUUUUUUUGGUUUUUUUUUUGUUUGGGGGGGGGGGGGUGUUCGGGCUUACUGAUUAGUGGGUCAGUCAUGAACUAAGCAAUAAGCAAACAAAAUAUCAAAAUCAUAGUUACCUCAGCUUAUUUGAUUCAUUAAUUCUCAAUCUCAUUAAAUCAAAGUUACCUUAGCUUAAUAGAUUCAUUAAUUCUCAAUCUCAUUUCAUGGACCCACAUCGCAUAGAUGCAAUUUGGUUUAUAAAGCAAUAGAUGAAUUUCAUGAUGAACUCUCAUGUACAGCUAGCUAUUAGUCUACAAAUAUACUAUGGUAUUUUGAUUUGAUGUAAUUUUAUAUCCCUGCUAAUGCUCAAAUUGUUGGAGAAUUUGAAGAAUAAAACACAAAUUUUAUUAGAGAAAGCUCAAAAACAUUAUAAGAACAAUUCACACACUCUACAAAAAUCACUCUUUAAAGCUCGUUUACUUCUUAUGCUUUCUUCUUUUUCCACUUGAUGCAUACAACACAAAUGGCAUAGGUAUUUAUAGUGAAUGAAACACAAACAUAAUCAUAACAAUACACAUCACCUAACAUGUUCCACCAAGUUUUCAUCAUAGCACCAAACAUAUUCCACUCACCUAAGAUGCUCUAAAGGAAUCCUUUAAUGGCAUCUAAAGUGUAAAGCUAAUCUCUACUCAAUUGAAUGCUUUAUGGGCAUAAUAUUGUAGGACCAUGAUGAUGAAGCAUGAUGAGGGGCCAUGUGCAACUCAACACCUCAUUCCACUUGAAUGAAUUAUUUGUGUAAAACAAGUUUAUUGUUUUCAACACUCUCCCUUAAACUUGUUUUAUGACACCAAGUAUAUUUCUGAAUCUGAUAAAAUCUUCUAGCUUGAGUGGUUUGAUGAAAAUAUCAACUGCUUGAUCUUUUGACAUCACCCAAUCAACUUGUGUAUCCUUUCUUGUGAUGCAUUCUCUUAUAUAAUGAUAGCGAGUAUCGAUAUGUUUACUUCGAUCAUGGAAGACUGGAUUCUUGAAUAGAGCAAUUGCUGACUUGUUAUCCACACAAAUCUUGGUUGGCUCUACUUGUGGUAAACCCAACUCCUUCAGUAAAUUUCUGAGCCAAAUUGCAUGGCAAACACUUAAUGUAGCAGUUACGUACUUGGUUUCACAAGUGGAAAGUGUGACAAUUGGUUGCUUCUUUGACAUCCAUGUGAAAGCAGUAUCUCCUAUAAAGAACACAAAUAUGGUAGUGCUCUUUCGAUCAUCUACAUCUCUACCCAAAUCGUUGUCGCUAUAUCUAACAAGCUUGUAGUCAUUAGGCAAUGAAUAUAACAAGCCAAAAUCAAUUGUACCUUUGAUAUAAUGAAGGAUUCUUUUUACAGUCUUGAAAUGAGUGAUAUUUGGAUUCUCCAUGUCUCGACUUACAAGUUCAACAGCAUAAAGGAUGUCAGGUCUCAUACAUGUCAAGUAAUGCAGACUUCCAACAAGGCUUUUGAAAAAAAUUGGAUCUACUUCUUCUCCUUCAUCAUACUUGGAUAACUUGACUCUGCACUCCAUUGGUGUGCUUAUUGGAUUGCAAUCACAUCUUGAACUUUUUGAAUAUCUCAUUUGCAUAACUUUCUGAAGAAAUGAAAAUGUCAUCUUCAUGAUACUUGACUUCAAUGCUGAGAUAAUAUGCCAUCAAUCACUCUCUUGAAAUCUUCAAAUAAGCUUGGAUUACUUCCAGUGAAGAUGAGAUCAUCCAAGUACAGACAUACAAUCAAAAUAUCUCCAUCUUUUUUUGUAAUGUAGAGAGCAUGUUCAUAUGGGCAUUCGGUGAAGCCAUUUUCUUGAAAAUACUUGUCAAUUCUGCUAUUUUGUGCCCUUAGUGUUUGCUUUAACCCAUAAAGAGUUUUCUUCAAUUUUAGAACUUUGUCUUCAUGUCCUUUCACCACAUAGCCUAAUGGUUGUUCUAUAUAAACUUCUUCUUCGAGGAAUCCAUUCAAGAAGGCAGACUUCACAUCUAAUUGAAAAACCUUCCAUUUUUUUCCGAGCAGCCAAAGAAAUAAUAAGCCUAAUAACUUCAAGUCAGGCUACAGCAGUAAAUGCCUUAUUGAUAACUCUAUGAAAUGAGAGUUAUUAUGACACUUUUAAACUUAAAUCAAGAUUACUUAGAGAGUAAAUGACAUAUUCUUAUUGCAUUCUAGUUGUAUUCUGCAUGAAUAUCUAUUUUAGUUUAUUUUUAAUAAACUAUGUUGUGUUAUAAUAAUUUGUGUGCUUAGAUUGAGUGCAUAGUUGUAGGUGAUCAGAGGCUCAAAUUUCAAAGGAGGAAUGCUGCUGCAAUAAGCUUGCAAAAAUAAGGAAAGAACUUUGCUACAGAAGAAUUGAAACAAGUCUGGAAUAGUGCAGAUUUUGUACCCGUUACUGCAGCAAACGUUGCUGUAGCAAUCCUAGAGCAUUGACAAAGAAGAUUUCGUGCGAGAUACUUAUAAGAUUACGAUCUGCAGUUUCCAAAUCUGGAAGAUACGUGCCCUAGACUUGCGGUUGUCCUAAUUUUCAAUUAUAAAAGAAGCACACACGCAAAAGAAAAGAGGAGCCGUCAACAAAGAAGAAGAACCGAAAAUAAACAAGAGGAAAACAAAAUUGAAGAGCAAGAUUUGGGGCUGCAUCAGAAGAGAAAAUUUACAGAGAUCAAUUGGAAAAAUAGUUCUUCUUAAUCUUUCUUGUUUACUUGUUUACUCUUUAAUCAUGGGGCUGUAUUUGAUGGCUGAAACUCUUUUAUUUAUUUUUCUUUUGCAAAACGUGAGCUAAAUUUAUUUGUGAUUGAGUGAUAAAUAUUCUUGAUGGUUACUUAACUGAAUAUAUGUGUUGAUGCAUGUUUGCUAUAGCAUGUUGUUUUGAUAAUACUUAUUUUAAUUCACUAUUUUAGCUGACCGCCCAUUUAGUGAUAUAAGCUAAGAAAAAGCCACAAAAAGGCCUAUCUUAGUGGAACAUAGUAGAGCAAUACUUGGUUUUAUAUUGGGUUUCCUGAAUUGAGUUUAACUUGAUUCCAAAAUGGCCAUGCUUGAUCUAAAAUUAGUGAUGAACUGACAUAAGGAUUCACCUUAUAGUAUAAAUAGAACCUAAACGUGUAAUGAUAUAUCUUAUGUUAGCAUAGCAAUUGGUUACUAUUAAAUUACAUUAAGGUAUAAGAUAUCCAACAAGCGACAGCUGAGGAUACAUAAGGAUUCUGCGCAGUGCUAUAGCAGAUGUUGUGGCAACCGAACAAAAAAUUAGAAGAGACGGUCAAAACCAUUAAGAGAGUUUAAUAACUCAACUACUCCAUUUUUAUUGGUUUUAUCAUUGUGUUUGACGUGAGAAUUUUAUUUAGUAUAUUUUUAAUUAUUGCAUUUUUAUUUUUAUUUAUUUAUUCGUUUAAUUAAUUAUCUUAUCUUAAUUUAGAACAAAAAUUGUACUGUCAAAGGAUUGUUAUAGCAAAUCCGAUAGCAUCAGUCCCUGUGAAGACGAUCUCGAAUACUUAUCAUUAUAUUACUUGUUGUGUAUACUUGCACAUUGACAUUCAUAACAGAGAAAAUACACACCAUUCAUCAUAGUCUAUGCCAAACUUUUGACUAUAACCUUUUGCAAUCAGUCUUGCUUUGUGCCUACAAUUUCUCUUCGUCUUGUACACCCAUUUGACAUCGAUCGCCUUGUGACCUCUGGGAAGAGUAAUAAGUUCGCAAGUGUCAUUCUUCAUGAUAGUUUUGAUUUCUUCAUCCAUUGCGAUUCUCCACUUCUCAUCUUGUGCAUCUUCUUGGAAGUUGAUUGGCUCGCAAUCAGCAAAGAAGCAAAAGAGAGUGAGAUUGUCAAGUCUCUCAGUUACCUCAUAGAGAUCUUUAAGACUCCUUAUACAUUUCUUGAUUCUUUCAUUUAAGAAAGAUGGUGGUGAAUCUCCACUUGUGAUUGAUGCUAGUGAGAUGGGUGGAGUAGCUGGCUCUUGUUGUUCUUCUACUUGUUUUAUCUGUGUAUGAUCAUCUUCUUCAAUAAGAAAGAAGUUGAAGUCAUCCACACUAGAGACAAAAUCUCAUUCUCCUUCUUCAUAAAAAAUUACAUUUUGGCUAAUCACGAUCUUCCCGUUGUUUGGAUUGUACAACUUGUAUCUUUUGGGAUUAUUGUCAUAGCCAAUGAAGAUGAAUUUCUCACUUUUGUCAUCCGGCUUGACUCUUCUCUCGAUUGGUACAUAUACAUGGGUAAAUGCUUCCAAAAACUGUCAGAUGGGCGAUGACGGGCUUCCUUCCACUCUAUGUUUCUUGUGGCAUCUUGCCUUGUACACCUCUUAUUGGAGAUCGAUUGGAUAAGUAGACUGCACAUGCAACAGAUUCAGCCCAAAAUUCUUUAGGUAGCCUCUUACUCUUGAGCAUGCUUCUUGCCAUGUUGGGGAUGAUUCUGUCAUCCUUUCUGCAACACCAUUUUGUUGGGGGGAUCUUAAAACUGUUAAAGUGCGUCGAACUUCAUUUGCUUAAUAAAAUUCUAUGAAUUCUUUAGAAGUAAACAUUCCACCUCGAUCAAAUCUCAUGGCAUUAAUAUAGUAUCCAUUUUUUUUUCACUGCAGCUUUAAACUUCUUGAAAGAUUCAAAGACUUCUGACUUCUGCUUCAAAAAAUACAACUGAGUUUUUCUUGAAAAAUCAUCAAUGAAAAAAAGAAAGUAGUUACUUUUACCAUGGGAACUUGGCUUGAAUGGAUCGCACACAUCAGUAUGAAUAAGCUUGCGUGGCUUCCGAGCUCUUGAGUUUGACUUCUUUGGAAAGCUUUUUCUAAACUACUUGCCAAGUAAACAUCCUUUAUAAAGUUGAUUAGGAUGAUUGGUUGAAGGUAAGCCUUUCACCAUGUUCUUCUUUGAUAGUAGUUCUAGUUGACUAAAGUUGAGAUGCCCAAAUAGAAGAUGCUAAAUCUAGGUUGGAUCUUUGUGACAAGCCUUGAGACACUUUGCAAUAUCAUUUUGAAUAUUUAAAGGAACCAUUCUAUUCUUCGAAAUUCUCACCCUUGUAAUUAAAUUUCCUUUAUCAUCUCUUCGAAAAAGAUUAUAAUCUUUUAAGUGAAUAUCAUAACCUUUUUCCAAGAGUUGACCUAAACUGAGGAUAUUGCUUUUCAUACUAGGCAGAUCUUUUGCACGAAAAAAAAAUGUUAAUGUUACCCUUUACUAGUACUUUUGAAUCAUCUCCAAAAGUGACAUUGCCAUUCAUAGAUUUAUUUAGUUCUACAAACAUGCUUCUGUUUCUGCUCAUGUGAUUGCUAGCACCUGUAUUCAGAUACCAUAUUUUUUUCUUGACCUUCUCUAGUAUUAUUGCGUGCUAGUAAAAGUGUAUCAUUUUUACCAUUCUUCUCUUCAAUAUAAUUCACUCUCUUCAUUAAUUCUAGUACUUGGAGCUCUACAUUCUGAAGCAUAAUGCCUAAACUUUUAACAAUUAUAGCAUUGUACUUAGAAUUGGUCAUACCUCGAUCUCGAAUUGCCUCUACCUCAUCCUCUGGUUGAGCUUUCUUCUUUUGCAUAAUUGGAGUUGUUGAUAUUCCAACCUCGUCCAUAACCAUGACUCUUUCUUAUCCUUGACCUCUACCUCGGACAUAUUGUCUUUUCCCGUUGUCGGUGCUUUCUUCUCUUUUAUUUGGAUUGACUUCCAUCUGAGAAGUUAUUUUUCAACUUCUUGCUUCUUUUUCAGUUUUUCUACAUAAGCUUGCAACAUUCCUUGAAGUUGCUCCAUCGUCAUUGCCUUUAAAUCUUUUGUUUCCUCAAUUGUCACAAUAAUAUGGUCAAACUUUGAGUCUACUGAUCAAAGUAUCUUUUCAAUGAUCCUUACCUCUUUUAACUCCUCAUCAUUUCUUUUUAGUUCAUUGGAAAUGGUCACAACUCAAGUAAAAUAGUCAGAAAUCAACUCGGAUGCCUUCAUGCGUAAGGACUCAAAUUCUCCUCGUAAUGUUUAGAGACAAACCUUCUUAACUUACCCCGCCCCUUUAUAAAAGGUCUUUAGCUUCUCUCAUACUUCUUUUGAAGAGGUUGCACUAGCAAUCGUUAAGUCUUUCAAAUUCUCCUUUUACACCGCAGUUAAAGUAGCUUCAUUUUCUGGUAGAGUAAAACCUUCCUCUAUGACGUCCCAUACAUUAUGUGCACCCUAUAGAGCCUUUAUUUUGAUACUCUAAUUGUCGAACUUACUUCCUUUUAAUUGUGGAACUUGAAAUAACAUCAUACCACCAUUUUCCAUAACUUACAAAUUGGGUGACAAUUUGAAGAUUUUAAAUGCACGAAUGGAUCCGGAAUGUCGAAAAACCUUAGGAAGAACUCGGAUCAACUUUUGGUCAACGGUCAACGCCAGUCAAUGAUCAAUGCCAGUAAUGGUUAACUCCAAUCAACAGUCAACUUUGGUCAACUCAAAUCCGGGUUGGUUUAGCUUGGUUCGGCUUGGUUCAACUUGAAUUAUCUCGGUGAGUCGACUCAGCUUCAAGAUAGAAACUUCUGGCGGCGAGUGUAGGCGCGUCCGGACUUCGAUCGGGAUAAUUUUUACGGUGUCGCGUUCCUCUCGUUGAGAUCUUCGAUUUGAUAUGCGACUAUAUAUAGUAUCGAACACUAGCUCUAAUACCACUUUGUUGGAGAAUUUAAAGAAUAAAACAGAAAUUUUAUUAGAGAAAGCUCAAAAACAUUACAAGAACAAUUCACACACUCUACACAAAUUACUCUUAGAAGUUAUUUUGCUUCUUUUGCUUUCUUCUUCUUACACUUGAUGCAUACAACACAAAUGGCAUAGGUAUUUAUAGUGAAUGAAACACAAACAUAAUCAUAACAAUACACAUCACCUAACAUGUUCCACCAAGCUUUCAUCAUAGCACCAAACAUAUUCCACUCACCUAACAUGCUCUAAAUGAAUCUUUUAAUGGCAUCCAAAGUGUAAAGCUAAUCUCUACUCAAUUAGAUGCUUCAUGGGCAUAAUAUUGUAGGACCAUGAUGAUGAAGCAUGAUGAAGGGCCAUGUGCAACUCAAUACCUCAUUCCACUUGACUGAAUUAUUUGUGUAAAACAAGUUUAUUGUUUUCAACACUCUCUCUUAAACUUGUUUUACGACACCAAGUAUAUUUCUAAAUCUUAUAAAAUCUUCUAGCUUGAGUGGUUUGGUGAAGAUUCUUUUUCUACUUACUAGUAUGACAUCUAAGCAUCCCAUAUAAACAUAUUAACUAAUAAAUAGUUAAAAUAUUUCUAAGCACUCUGUGUAAAUAAUCUAAUGCAAGACACAAAAUCAAAGACAAUCGUAUAUAAGCUUUUAUAGAUCCAAGGAUAAAUUUAGUCAAAUAUUAAUCUAACAAUCAAUAUCACAUGACAGAAAUAGUGAAAAAAAUUAACUAUAUUUAACCAAACAUAUGAAACAAGAACCAUGAACGUUAAAGCACACAUAUAGGAAAUUAAUUGAAUAAAAGUAAUUUAUUUUAUUAAAUAGGACUUCAUCCUUAACCCUAGUACAUAAUUGAAUUGGGAAUGAAAAAUAAGAUAAAACCGGUCACCUACAUUAAUCCAAGCAGUCAUCCCUUCUGAAUUUGUCUCCCUCGUGAAAGCCAAAAACUUGGCAUAUAUAAUGGCAUCCUUAACCCUAGUACAUAAUUGAAUUGGGAAUGAAAAAUAAGAUAAAACCGGUCACCUACAUUAAUCCAAGCAGUCAUCCCUUCUGAAUUUGUCUCCCUCGUGAAAGCCAAAAACUUGGCAUAUAUAAUGGCCAAGCCACUUAAAGCAGCCGACUACAUCAUUUUUGCAAGCCAAAUCCUAAGAUAUAAAACACUUUACACUUGUAAAAGCCCACAAUCUUCUUUCCUUUGAUUUGGUUCCCCUUCUAAUUACUUGCACGCAUAAUUCUUUUAACAUCAUCAUGGCUUCGACUUUAUGUUUAAUUUCUCUUCUUUGAUGUGCGGCUUUGAAUCUUCAUGCUUAAUCUCAACAACUUCUAAUUCCCUCCAAUUUGAUUCUUUUAAGCAUUGUUUAUUUCUUAAUCUUCAAUAAAUUACAUGUUUAAUAAAAUAAUGCAAUUAACUAAAAUUAUCAAAUAAAAAUACCUAGUAAAUAUAAAACGAAGGGUAAUAUAUUUCUAAUUAGUUCCUCGUUUACACUGAGAUUUUUAAUAGGACUAGGGUUCUCCAUUUAUUUACUAACCAACAUUGGUAUUUUAAUUCCCCUUGUCAUUAGAACAUUGAAUUGAACCACCAUUUUUUUCAUCGAGCUCUGUUGUCCCUAUUUAUGCGAAAACACAAUGUAUGAAUAGUCAAUUGAAAGAAAUCAUUCUUUCUUGUGAGACCCCCAGAGUAUCACUUCGCUAUGCAAGACCCUUUUCAAUUCAAAAUAGCGGCGGCUCUUGUAUUAUGUAAAAUUCGUAUUUGGGGAAAAAAGAGAAAUAUUUGUUCUCUCUUAUAAAUGAACUUUUUUUUUCAUAAAAUCUAGUAUGUGUUUGUGUGUAUAAUAUGCUCAUCAAGAAGCCAAGAGGAAGAGAAGUAGCCGUUGCAAGAGAUCUAGAGAGAAGCUAAGAUUAAUUCAUGAGUUUUUAUUUCCUUUUCUAUAUUGCUUUGCUUAAAUGUUCCCAAUUAAAUUUAUACAUUCUCUUUAUAUUUUCAUAAACUAAUUUAUUUUGCUAUAACUAUGAUGUAGCAUAACUAUGAAGAUUUAGUUGCAUUUGUACUUGGGAGACCGCCUAUUGUAAGUAGUGUGUAUUUAUGCAUGUCGAGGAAUGUUCUGUUAACAAAGUGAUAAGAGUCUAAAGAGUCUGGGUUUUAAAUGGGACUGUUGUGACCCCUCCAUUCUACUCAAAACUUUCUUGGUGCAUUUAUUCACACGAAAUUAACAUCAUAGAGGUUGUUUUUCAAGUGUAAAUAAUUGUUGAAGACACUAGUAUUUUGAGUUAAGAAGGAUGGCAUAUGCAUUGUCGUUGUCUUCAUUAGCAAGAACUACUAUGACUAAUGCAAAAUUGGAAGUGGAGAAAUUCAAUGGUACCAAUAAUUUUUGUAUGUGGCAGUGUAAGGUGUUGAAUGUCUUAUGUCAGCAAGACUUGGAGCUCGCUCUUAAAGAAAAGCCUGACAAAAUGGAUGACAAGGAGUGGAUAAAUAUCAAUAGACAGGCAUGUGGUACUAUUAGUUUAUGUCUGGCUAAAGAUCAAAAGUAUGUCAUGAUAGAAACAUCAAAAAAGAAAUUGUGGGAAACACUAAAAGAAAAGUACAUGAAUAAACGCCUAAAAAAUAGGCUUUAUACAAAGAAAAAACUCAAUCGAUUCAUGUAUGCACUAGCAUGUUGAUGAAUGAUCAUGUAAACUCAUUUAACAAGAUAUUGGCAGAUUUGCUAAAUUUGGAUGAGAAAUUUGAAGAUGAAGAUAAGGUAUUGUUGAUGUUGAAUUCUUUUCAUAUUAAAUAUGAUUAUCUCACCACCACUUUGCUUCAUAGGAUGGGCAGUUUCACAUUUGAUGUUGUAUGCAGUGUGUUGUACAACUCUAAGACUAGAAAGAAAGACAGAAAGGAUCACAGGGAUACAAUUAUCGAAGCAUUGACAAUGAGAGGUCAUUCACAAAGCCACAAACUUGGACAAAAAGAGCAAGUCUAAAGGAAUGCCUACCAAAGAUGAAUAUGCCUUUUGUCGUCAAAAAGGGAUUGGAAAAAGAAUUAUCCUAAGCUAUAAAAGGGUAAGGCUAUUUCUGAUGUAUGUGUAGCAGAGCAUGAUGAGGAGUCAGACUUUAGUUUGAUUGGCAUGACAUUGACAUGUCACUCAGACGAAUAGAUUUUGGAUUCGGGUUGUACUUAUCAUGUGUCCUAAUAAGGACUGGUUUUCUAGCUUCAAGGAACUGCACGGUGGAGUUGUUUUUAUAAGCAAUGACAAUGCCUAUAAAACCAUGGGAAUAGGUACAAUCCAAUUGAAGAAUCAUGACAGCUCAAUCUAAGUCUUGACAAACGUUCACUACGUACCAAGUUUAAAGAAAAAUCCCAUCUCAUUAGGAGUCCUAGAAUCUAAAGGGCUUACAAACACUCUGAGAGAUGGAUUUUUAAAAGUAGUAGCUUGUGUACUGACAGUGAUGAAAGGCACAAGAAGAAAUAACUUAUACUAUUUCCAAGGAAGUACAGUUAUUGGAUCAGCAUCAACAAUUUAUGGAAAAAAAAAUGCAGAUUCAAAAGCAACCAGGUUGUGGCAUAUGCGUUUGGGACAUGCUGGGGAAAAAGCAUUGCAAACUUUGGUAAAACAAGGCUUAUUGAAAGGUGCAUAUUCUUGCAAAUUGGAAUUUUAUGAACAUUGUAUUAUAGGCAGGCAGGCAAGGGUAAAGUUUGGUUCAGCAAUUCACGAUACAAAAGGAAUUCUAAACUAUGUUCACAGUGACAUAUGAGGAUCUACCAAAACAGCUUCUUUGGGAGGUAUGUACUAUUUUGUUACUUUUUUUUAUGAUUAUUCAAGAAAAAUAUGGGUGUAUUUGAUGAAAAACAAGAAUGAAGUUUCAGCACAUUUUUUAAAUGGAAAAAAAGGAGGCUCAGACUAGUCGAAAGGUGAAAAGAGUUUGCUCAGACAGUGGUGGUGAGUGCAAGAAUGAUCCAUUUCUACAAAUAUGCCGAGAUGAAGGCAUUGUACGACACUUCACUGUUUACGAUAUACUACAACAUAAUGAGGUGGUAGAAUGCAUGAACCAGAUUAUACUGGAGAAAGUUCAGUAUAUGUUGUCCAAUACUGGAUCGGGCAAGAAAUUUUGGGCUGAGGCAGUUGUAUAUGUGUGCCAUCUGAUCAACUAUUUUCCAUCAGCUGCAAUUGAGGGUAAAACACCCAUGGAGAUGUGGACUGGUAGACCUACUAGUGAUUAUGAUUCUUUACAAGUUUUUGGUUCCACUGCUUAUUAUCAUGUAAACGAUAUAACCAAUGGAGUAAAAGGAUAUCGUCUCUAGUGUCCUGUUACAAAUAAGAUUAUUUUCAGCAAAGAUGUGACUUUUGAUGAAUCAGGCAUGUUGAAACAAAAAGAUUUACAAAAUGAUGACAAAACUAAUGGUACUUUGCAACAGGUCGAUUUUGAAAAGCUUAAAGCUGAUCUAGCUGGAGUCAAUGAGACGGAAAAUGAUUCUUUAUCGACUAAGGAUGAAGAAGAGGUCCUGACCCAGGAACCUUCACAAUAACAAAAUUCAAUUGCAUAUAGAAGGCCACAAAUGGAGAUUCACAGACCUGCUCGCUUUGUUGAUAUGAUGGCCUAUGUAUUUUUAAUUGCAGAUGAUGAUGUUUCUUUCACUUAUAGAAAAGUAGUAAGUAGCCCUGAAAGUAUACAAUGGAAGCUAGCAAUGAAUGAAGAAAUGCAGUCUCUUCAUAAAAAUGGAACUUAGAAGUUGGUUACAAGUAAAUUGGGUGCAAAUAGGCAUAUACAAAGAAGGAAGGAUUUCCUCAUAAGAAUAAAAGUCAUACAAGGCUAUAUUGGUAGCGAAUGGUUACACUCAGAAUGAAUGAAUAGACUACAAUGAGGGUGAUUUGGAAAAGGAAAUCUACAUGAAAUUUCUUGCUUUUCAAUGGAAGCACAGCAUAUGGCUAGCAACUUUUUAACUGUAAUUGCAUGUGCUAGCAUGAAAUUUCUUGCUUUUCACCAAAGUCAACAACGAAGCCAUUAAAAUUGAAAAAUGGCCAAGAUUUUUUUUCAUGCAUUCAGUUUGUGAGUUAAAAAAUGGCCAAAAGUGGUAUAUUACCGGACAAUGUUCUUGCUCUAUAAGUGCAUUUAUUAUCCCCAUAUAGGGAAAUGGGGAAUUGAAAGAGUUCGACAAGUAAAUAUUUGACACAGAUUUUGACGGAAAGACGUAUAUGUAUGGUUAGCAUUUUUAUUUAAUGGUGUUCCGAAAAAAAAAAAAAGAAAUCUUUUUUAUUUAGUGCGGAAAUCAAGUAUUUCUUCAAAACACAGUGUUUAGAGAUUAGAAACCACAGAAUUAACUUAAGAAUUAGCUUAACAAUAAUUAAGUUUACUGAUAUUUGCUAUUUUCCAUCAGCCCAAAACCACGUCAAACACUUGAUACUAAAAAAUUGAAAGCUUUAACGUAUAUUGAACUUUAUUGUAGAUAUCUAUGUGGUUACCUUAAUUUAUUAAAAUGCAUGUUCCAUUGAAACGGGCUCCAAUAGUCAGCCUGGUUCUUUCGGGUACUGGUUUCAAAUUCAAUGGACUGAAUAAAAAAAUAAGACAUGUUUAUUGGUUUAUCAAAAAUCGAAUCAAUCAGUUUUCUCAUUUAUAAAACUGAAUCAAACCGGCAGUUCGAAUUACAAUUUAUUCGAUUCAUGAGUUUUAUUGCCUAUCCCUACCGAUCGUCCUCAAGCAAAAGACAAAGUUACUCCUUAUUUGUCAAAACAAAAUUACUGAUAGAUCUAAUUGUUAUCAUUUUAUUCAGUUGUAUUUUGUUGUACGUUUUAUUUUAUUUUAUUUUAUUUUUACCAGUAAAAUUAUUCCUUACCGAUUGAUAUCAUAGGGCCGGCAAAAUCACUUUUAUAUCCAGGUGUAAAAUAGAAAGGUAUGUAAAUUCAAUGAUAAUAACAAAGAUACCUUUAAUAACAAAAAUUUCACCCGCCAUACCAAAUAGAACUUGAUGACGUGAGGCAGCACCUACCAUACCAAACGGUUGCAUUUGACUUAACAAAAAUAUCAUGAUCUCAAUUCAGCAACAAUAAAAAUAUAAUUAUUAUUCGUAUUAAUUGUCUCUAAUUAAGAUAAUUGGCAAUACUUUCAAAAACAUUCCCACUUCAACGCUAGUUAACCACUAAUGACCAAAAAACCUUAAGGAGUCAUUUACUUUUAAUUUGUGUUUCCGGUGACAUUUGUUUACGAAUUUGAGCCUGAGGCUAAGAGCUAGAAAAGCUUUAGGUUACAAGAGAGAGUUCUGUAAUUGGGAUCAUGCAGAUGCAUUUGUUUAGGUUCAUCUCCAACACGUUUUCCAAAUAUUACGUAUAAGAUUAAGAUUAUGACAUUACAAAUUUUAAUGAUUUCCAAUGUAAAAUUUUCCAUCUUAAUUAUUAUUAUUUAUUGCAGAUAACUCAAUAGCUGUUUCCAAGUAUAAGAUUUUGAUCCCAUGAAAAGGACAAAAAGGAGGAAAAACGAAAGCCUAGUUUCUAUUUUGGGAAAAAGAAUUUUGAAUAAGCACUAAAAUUAGUGGUUUAUUUUUUUUUUCUUUAUUUCUUAUUUUUCGAAAGGAGGAUUAAAAUACAAAAAUUAGUGGUUAGAAUUUAAAUAGAGUGAUAAUUUGUGAUUAGUAAUGGAAUCCGAUAAAGGAUAUAUAAGCAACAAGAGGUGGGCUCGGCUUGAGGUUGCGUAAAAAUUAUUUUACAACAUAAAUUCAAAGAAAUGCAAUAACUCAAUUUCCCAUUCUGUCAAAGACAUGAAAGGGACAAUUACAAGGAGAGUUUUCUAUUACUGCUCACAAACUGCAUAUUUGAAUUCCUUGUUCGAACAUUAUAUAUUCUUAUUCAUUAAUAGAAUAUUCAAACUUCAAAUUCAACUGCAGCAAUAUUGUAAUGGAAUCAAAGAGAGGAGAAAAUUUCUUGCAAAAUUAAUUAAUCAAUAAUUUGAGCCUCUUUUUUCUCAAGUACAGCAUUUAAUUUGUUGGUUAAUAGUUCUACCAAUCAAUUCAAUAAUCCAAUGUAUAAUUAUUAUCAAUCUUGAUUGGGCUAUAUUUCUCAAUCGAACUAAAGCGACAGGCAUGCUUCAAUCACGUUGUAAAUUUGUAAUAAAUCAAUUCUCUCUUGAAACUUGUAAUCAAUUAGGAAACAAUGAGUCAUCAUUGGAAUUAAACUUUGCUUUAGAGGAUCACAUGUCCAUCAUCUUCAAAUUUCCUUAAAUAGCUAUCUCUCCAUUGUAAUCCUUUCCGUCCACUUUAAUUAGCCUACUUUUUUCCAUUCAUUUUUCUUUAUUUUUGUGGUUUUUGGCUGUCUCCAACUCAUAUUUUAUCUUUUUUGUUUUUUGGGAAGAUAGGAGUUAAGUGAUUAGUGGGUCAGCAAUAAACUAAGCUGUAAGCAAACAAAAUAUUGAAAUCAACGUUACCUUAGCUUAUUAAAAUCAUUCAUUCUCAAUCUUAUUUCAUGUAACCACAUCACAUGCUUCAAUUUCCUUCAUUAAGCAAUAGAUGAAUUUGAUGAUGAACUCUCACGGCUACCUAUUAGUCUAGAAUAGAGAGGCCAACGGCCUGGACAGCACGUGGCACAGCAUGAGCACAACAUUUAUCUGUAUAGUAUGGCACAGUAUGAGUAUGUUUUGGUAGGGUAUGCGGCAUGGCACGUCACAUACGAGAGCUGGGCUGGGAUGAUGAUUUUAAUCACACGGGCCUUAAAAGUAUGGUACGAUUAGAGAUGGGUAAAAACAUGACAUGUAAAAAAAGUUAGUAAUGAGCAUGCUUCACUUUUUAAUGAAAUUUUUUAACGAAAGUAAACUUAAAAUUUUACGAUUUAAUAAGUAACUUGAAAUUGAGUAUUUUAAUUUAUUUUAUUGCCAUAAAUUUUCUAUAUUCAUUUAAUUCUUAGUUUAAAAAAAUCUAAUUGUUUUAUGUUUAUAAUUUAUCAAAUAAAUAGACGAUAUCAUGCUUUUAACAAAAUAAAAAUAAAAAUAUCAUGUAUGUAUUAAUGUCAUUAUGGACUAUGAUUUAUGACUCUAUGUAAGUUCAAGUUAACAACUAAGUUAGCUCCUAAGAAAAUUUAUUGUUGUUGUUGUCAAGUAUUAAAAAAGAAUUCUAAUAUCAUAGGGUCUAACUUGGUAGUUAGUAUUACAUUCUCUUAUUAUUAUUAGUUUAUUAUUAUUGAAUAUGGACAUGAGUUUUGAACUUUUUGAUUCUAUCGAAUUAAAAUAAGGACACGUGUACCCAAAAGAAAAAUACACGGGCUUGAAAAAACUACGCCAAAAGCUUGGCAUGUCCUCUUAAAAAAAAUUUUAAAAAAAAACUUGUCGUGCUUUUCUUCUUAGGCACGGCCCAGGGCACUAGGCCUAAGCCAAAAAACUCGCACAACAUUGUGCUCAAUGAAGAUCACAAUUUAGGAAUGAAUGAAUAUUGAAAAUUGAAAAUUGAAAAUACAGAUAAACACAGAGUGAAUGAAUGAAUAUUGAAAAUUUCUCGAAUUCCCUAACUGCCAAAUUAAAAUGCAUUCAUUAUUCGUUGAACAGAAGAAAGACCAUCCAAUUUCCACGAAAGCAUUUUUUUUUCUUUAUUAUUUUUAGCUAAAUUCUCUAUCUAAUCAACUUGAGGGGGAAAGAAAAUUCUACUUACAGAAAUACUUAAAACAAUAUUUUCAAACCUAAAUCACUAUCACCGCCUGAAGUUGUACUCCGAAGAAACUCGUGCCCAAUAAGAGAAAUUUGGUUAUGUGCGUAAAAAUUUUCUACAAUUUAGGAAAAAAAAUCGAAUCAUAUAUGGUUAAUCAACUGAGCCAACUCAUGACUUUGUCCCCAUUCAUAAGUUUGUCCCAUUUCCUUUUCUUGACACAAGGUCUUUGCUUGAAGACCACUUCAAUGUCAGAACAAGGAAAAUCACCCUUUACAUUCCAUGUGCAAUUGUUUGUCCCAUUUACAGUAAAAGUCAGUACUAAAUUGAUAUCCGAUCCCAUGCGUGACUUCAAAGAGGGUUUUCACUUGAUUGUGCUUGUGCGCGUAGCAUCUCAAAGAAGCCAUCGAGAUUUUCAGGCAAGAAGCUAAGUAUAUGGAAAGAAAAGUUUGUGAAUAUGAAAGUAAAUGUCCGUUUCCUCCCUAUAAUUUGAGACUUGGAGCGAAUUACUCAGUUAGUCUAUAUACUUUAAAAUGAAAAAAGAAUAAAUAGGUUUUUGCUAUGUAUUUGUUUCCGUGAAAAUCUACUCAUUAUAUCCAAUAACUACAGAAGUAACGACAGAAAUUUUCUGGGUAAUGUUUAAAACUUUAUGUAGUAAUUGAUGAUUGACUCAAACUACGGGGGGCAAAAGAGUAGUUUCCGCAGAAAGUAACUCCUUUUUGUGAAAAUCAAUUCGAAUAUAUUCAGCAAACAUCAUCAAAUACUUCAUGGAUCGGUUAAAGAAUAUGAAAUCAUACAGCUGUGAAGGAAAAUUUAUGCUUUACUUAGGCAAGAGAAUCAUUAUAGAGCAAUUUAUGAGAAAUUUUGAUAAAUUGAUGGGACAUUUAAAUUAUUAUAGAGAAUCAUCAUUAGGCAAGAAAAUUAAAUUUAUGAGAAAUUUUCAAGAUACAAUUUUUUUUCUGGAUACAUAUCUCAAAAUUGUAUCUCAAAUAUUUUAUUUCGAAUAAAAUGACAUUCAACAAGGUGUCGUAAUGUAAUUAAUUCACUUAUAACUUGCGAAAGUCUUUAAUUACCCCUGGAUAAAUGACACACCAUGUCGUUUCUUAUAAGGUAAUCAAUAAAAAUGAAGAAAAAUAAGAUUUCUUCUUUUAUCGCUUGAAUGCAAAAGCCUGCAUGGCUUACAAGUGUAUAUUCCAAAUUUAGUAAACUUUAUUCUAUUUCUAACGUCUCGUAUUCGAAAUUAAUGACCUAGGAAAAAACCAGGAAACAAGAGAAGCUUGUCAGUAACAAUCGUCCCAGAGAAUUUCUCUGUGACCGUUACACAGGAAGCUACAGUACAGGUUCUUGGCUCCUUGCUAAGUCCCAUAUUUAAAGGGAACCCAUUCACAGACUUACAAACUCGUUCCAUUGCUACAAAUUCUUGAUCUUUGUUCUUGUUAUUGUUUUUUAGCCAUGUCUUUAACUCUUAGGUCUCGGAAACCAAUUGAAAAUACAAUGCCGAUCAAUGAAUUAGAACUUGACCUCUUCUUGCUUUCAAAACGCCACCAAAGAAGGUGGCGAAUGGCCUUUAGAGUCAUAUGCUUCACCAGAGCUCUUGUUUCAAUGUCCAGAAAGUGUCUUCAAAACAACAACCAAAUCUUGCUUCGCUCCCUCUCUUACGUUGCCGUCGACAUUAGUACCAGUGACGACCAUGAAGUUCCCUUUGUCGGGGUCAACAAGCAGAUGCUCUCGAAGAUGGUGAAAGAGAAGAGUUUUGAGUCCUUGAGUAAUCUUGGAGGAGUUAAUCAAGUUGCUGCGAUUCUUGAAAGUGAUACCAAACGUGGCAUCGGUGGCAAUGAAGCUGAUCUUGGUCACAGGAUCAAUGUUUUCGGAGCAAACAGGUACAAAAGACCAAAAGCAAAAAGCUUUAUAAGUUUUGUUUUUGAGGCACUUAAAGAUACAACUAUUAUCAUACUCUUGGUUUGUGCUUUACUCUCUCUGGGGUUUGGCAUUAAACAAGAAGGCUUGAAAGAAGGCUGGUUCGAUGGCGGUAGUAUCAUAUUUGCUGUAUUUUUAGUUGUUAUCGUCUCUGCUGUGAGUAAUUUUAAGCAGAGUAGACAAUUUCAGGCUCUUGCUGAUGAGAGCAGUGAUAUAAGAGUUGAAGUUGUGAGAGAGGGCAGGCGCCAGGGUUUGUCAAUCUUUGAUGUUGUUGUUGGUGAAAUUGUUUGUUUGAAGACUGGCGAUCAAAUUCCGGCUGAUGGGUUGUUCUUGAACGGCCAUUCUCUGAAGGUUGAUGAGUCUAGCAUGACUGGGGAAAGUGAUCAUGUUGAAGUUGAUGAGAAGAGUCCUUUCUUGCUUUCGGGUACUAAAGUGACCGAUGGCUAUGGCUUCAUGCUGGUCACUUCUGUUGGAAUGAGCACUGCUUGGGGUGAGAUGAUGAGCUCUAUUAGCCACGAGUUGAAUGAGGAGACGCCAUUGCAAGAUCGGCUCAACAAGCUGACUUCUUGCAUUGGGAAGAUUGGAUUAACAGUGGCUGUUCUAGUGCUUGCGGUUAUGUUGAUUCGGUACUUCACAGGAAACACAAGAGAUGAGACGGGAAACACAGAAUUUCUCGGGAGGAGGACGAAGGUCGAUGAUGUGAUGAAUUCUGUGAUCAACAUUAUUGCUGCUGCUGUCACCAUUAUUGUUGUGGCAAUUCCUGAAGGCUUGCCUCUUGCUGUUACUCUUACGCUGGCUUUUUCGAUGAAGAGAAUGAUGAAGGAACAUGCUAUGGUAAGAAAGCUCUCUGCUUGUGAGACUAUGGGCUCUGCAACAACCAUUUGCACUGACAAAACAGGCACUCUCACUUUAAAUCAAAUGAAAGUUACGGAAUUCUGGAUUGGAAAAGAAGCAAUAACGGGCAAUGCCAGUUCCUCAGGAUUUGCACAUAAUAUCUACGAGUUGCUGCAAGAUGCAGUUGGUUUAAACACCAUUGGCAAUGUUUACAAAUCGAAUUCUGAAUCGACUCCUGAGAUUACUGGUAGCCCAACUGAGAAGGCAAUUCUUUCUUGGGCGGUGAUUGAUUUGGGGAUGAAUGUUGAUGAACCGAAACAGUGCUGUAAAGUAAUCAACGUGGAGGCCUUCAAUUCAGAGAAAAAGAGAAGUGGAGUUUUGGUGAAGAGGAUCCGUGACAAGACGGUUCACAUACACUGGAAGGGAGCUGCAGAGAUGAUACUAGCCAUGUGUUCUCAUUAUUAUGUCAAAAGUGGGACAAUCAGAGUCUUGGAUGGUGAAGCGAGAAAGCAAAUUGAGAUAGUUAUCAAGGACAUGGCAGCCAAGAGCUUAAGAUGCAUUGCUUUUGCUCACACUAAAGUUGCAGAAGCUGAUGGGCAAGUCCAGGAGAAGCUUGAAGAAACUGGACUGACCUUGUUGGGGCUUGUGGGUUUGAAGGAUCCUUGUCGUCCAGGUGUCAGAGCAGCAGUUGAAUGUUGUAGAAAUGCAGGGGUGAAUGUCAAGAUGGUAACUGGAGACAAUGUGCACACGGCUAGAGCCAUAGCUAUUGAAUGUGGAAUCCUGAACCCUGAUGUGGGUUUAAACAAUGAUGAUGCAGUAAUCGAAGGUGUGCAAUUUAGAAGUCUCUCAGCUGAAGAAAGAGUGGCAAAGAUUGAAAGUAUCAGAGUGAUGGCAAGGUCUUCCCCACUAGACAAGCUUCUGAUGGUUCAAAGCUUGAAGCAGAAAGGCCAUGUUGUAGCAGUGACUGGCGAUGGCACAAAUGAUGCUCCUGCUCUAAAGGCAGCAGAUAUUGGACUCUCGAUGGGAAUUCAAGGAACUGAAGUGGCAAAGGAGAGCUCAGAUAUCGUCAUUAUGGAUGAUAACUUCACCUCUGUAGUGACAGUUCUGAGAUGGGGACGAUGUGUCUACAACAACAUUCAGAAAUUCCUUCAAUUUCAGCUCACAGUCAAUGUUGCUGCUCUUGUCAUCAACUUUGUCGCUGCUGUUUCUUCAGGAAAAGUCCCACUAACUGCUGUUCAGCUGCUCUGGGUGAACCUGAUAAUGGAUACACUAGGAGCAUUGGCAUUGGCCACUGAGCAGCCCACCAAUGAUCUCAUGUCAAAGCCUCCCGUUGGCCGAUCCAAGCCUCUGAUAACAAAACUCAUGUGGAGGAAUCUCAUCCCUCAGGCCAUUUAUCAGGUGACCAUCUUACUGACU